UGGUGGAGGGGAACUAGAUGGUUGUGGUGGUGUAGCUUGGUAUGGAGGUGGACUAGGUUGACUAUAGGUGGGAGGUGCAGUGGGUGCACUUGGUGGUGGUGGAGGCAAAUUGUUGGUUGGAGGACUAGAUUGUGGUGGCAUGGGAGAUUUGUAUGGAGGCAUGGUAGGAGGGAUAGAGGGUGAGAGCGGUGGCUGGUUAUUUGGCGGAGGUGUGGUUGGGGUACUUGAAGGUGGUGGAGGGGAACUAGAUGGUUGUGGUGGUGUAGCUUGGUAUGGAGGUGGACUAGGUUGAGUGUAGGUUGGAGGUGCAGUGGGUGCACUUGGUGAUGGUGGAGGCAAAUUGUUGGUUGGAGGACUAGAUAGUGGUGGCACGGGAGAUUUGUACGGAGGCAUGGUAGGAGGGAUAGAGGGCGAGAGUGGUGGCUGGUUAUUUGGUGGAGGUGUGGUUGGGGUACUUGAAGGUGGUGGCAGGGAACUAGAUGGUUGUGGUGGUGUAGCUUGAUGUGGAGGUGGACUAGAAUGCAAUGGAGGUGGUUGACUAUAGGUUGGAGGUGCAAUGGGUGGACUCGACGGUGGUGGUGGCAAAUUGUUGGUUGGAGGACUAGAUUGUGGUGGCAUGGUAGGAGGGCUAGAGGGCGACGGGGUUGGUUGGUGAUUUGGUGGAUAUGUUGGAGGUGUGGUUGGGGUACUUGAAGGUGGUGGAGGGGAACUAGAUUGUUGUGGUGGUGUGGCUUGGUGUGGAGGUGGACUAGGUAUCAAUGAAGGUGGUUGACUAUAAGUUGGUGGUGCAAUCGGUGGACUUGAUGGUGGUGGAGGCGAAUUGUUAGUUGGAGGCUUGGCUGGAGGACUAGAUUGUUGUGGUGGAGGAGAUUUGUGUGGAGGCAUGGUUGGAGGGCUGGAGGGCGACGAGGGUGGUUGGUUAUUUGGCGGAUAUAUCGGGGCUGUGGUUGGGGUACUUGAAGGCGGUGGAGGGAAACUGUUGCUUGGAGGCGUCACAGGAGGGCUGGACUUUGGUGGUGGAGGAUAUUGUUGUGGAGGUGUUUCUUGGGGACUUGAAGAUUGUGGAGGUGUACCUGAGGAGGAGGGAGGCCCUGAUGAGUCAUUAGACGGUGAUGGUGACUCUUGGUCAUGACCACAGUCAUCUUUCUUUGGAUGCCCGUGACCAUCACCAUGUGGGUCUGGACCUUUCCCUGGCUUUUGGCAAUGUGGGUUCUUCACUGGCCCAACCCCAUUACUGCCGUCACCUUUGUCAGUGCCUUGCUCUCCAUCACCUCCCUUAUCUCUCUGUGAGUUGUGAUCACUGCCAUCCUUGGAAUCAGAACCAUGCCCCUUGUCCCCAGACGACUUGUCGUCAUCGGCUUGGACUAUGUGAACGGUGAGGAGGAGGGUGAGAAGGAACAGAGCUACUAUCCAUCUCAUGGCGUGAGAUCGCUGGCCGCCUAGCUGCCAGCGAUUAGCAAGACAGGUUACUGCCUACUAGCUCACUGAUGGCUUGUGUUGCAUGGGCAGGGCGAUGUCUCUAUUUAUAGUGGUGUAGCACAUUGGUUACUCCAUGGUAGCUAGCUAGAUGCAUAGAGUUUACUCGACCUGUUCCGAUCGAUCGAGAUGCAGAAGCUUCUCUCUUCUCAGCGGGCUUGGCUUUUGUUAAUUCAGUGUCAGCUGCCUAUCUGAAUUAACUAUACAUAUCAUCACUUGUUCACGUCUAUGACCAUAGAAACAGAAUCUUAUAAGCUGACAGUAGCCGUCCAUUGCUAGAUAUGAUUUCCUGCUAUAUUAACGUUGACAUUUUGAAGCGUACGCGGAUCUCCGCGCGCAUAGGCACAGAGCAUCUUACCAGCUCGUGGUUCGUGGCAUGCAGUCAGAUGAUAUUUGCUGACACACGGCUCCAUCAGGAAACUAAAUUAGCUGGGAUAUCUGUAAGCUGUGGACACAGAGACGGUUUGACCUUUUUAAGCUUUCAUAGGAAUUAAUUUAAUUUUAUGUAGAUUUAUAAAAUAUCGCCAAGCACACGAACCCAGAAUGGCAGGCUCUGUGAAGUCGCCAGCAUGCAUCUCUACGUGCCAUCUCAUAUCACGUGAUUACGUCAGGCACUGGAUCUUGUAGCCAUUUUGGAGGUACAGGUAGCAUCUAUCAAACUCAACACCUGAUCCAAUGAUCUGCCAACUGAAAACUAUAUUUAGGUUGAUAGCACAAAUGUAUACUCUCUUCAUUCUAAAAUUACAUUUACCAUAAGCUAAUAACUAGUUUUUUUUGUUUUAAACUGAGUCUCAACAAUGAUUGCGAAACCACUCACUAUAAGAAAAGAUACAUUGUAGAAAUUCUUAAAAGUUCAAUACUAUUAAUUCGCUGCGACAAAACUGUCCAGUUUAUUUAACUCAAAUGCACUAGCCGACCUCUCAGAAUAGCAGUAAAUAAAGGAAGAGACCGAUUUGAUUACACAUAGUGGAAGCAAUUUCAUUGCUACACCAUGAUGUUCAGGAGUCGAAUACAAAGAUACCGAAAUAAUUCACAACAAACAACAGAUGUGUUUCCAGGGACUCGGACAACAAACUACAAUAAGCAGCUACGACAACACCAAAAGAACACAAGUCGGAAGGCAUCACUUUGCCAUGAGCAAGACAGAUUUAACCGAGUCAACCAGCGAGUACCCACCCACCGAGACGUGUACUCGAUCAGUGACUUCUCCCCUCGGAUCUUCAUCUGCAACAGUUAGCAAGACUUAUCAGAGUGCGGGCUCUCGUUAGGUUCCUGGAAGCGAUUCCUUGAAAUGAUUUUCAGCCAGGAUAAUUGACUAACUUGUAUAAUCUUACAUCAGCCGGAUUGGUUCCUAGGCUCAUUCCAGGUUAAAACCGAAUGAGCUCUAAACAGAAAUAUAUUUAGCCUCACCCUUAAGAGUACGCAGGAGGCUAUUUGGCUAGCGAGUGUUGCUUGCAGAAUAGCGUACUAACUCUUGGUCUUCAACUUUCAUGCUUUUAUCACUAGUAGUUUGUACUUAACCUGUUCGAUUAAGAUUGCACUCACUAAAAUUAUCCGUGGACAGACUUGCAUUUCACAUCUUACAGACAUAUAGAUAUUUCCACACUACUUUUUUCACAGAUAUGCUUGUUAGCAUGUGUUUCAUUGAGAAGAUAGGAGUUGAAAAUACAACAAGGAGCAAGCAGACUAGGGGCAUGCCACACGACGUCCACAAGUACAAAAAUGUUAAUUAUGUACUAUGAAGCCGGUUCUACUGCAACGAAAGCUAGAACACUUCGAUGAGUAGACUAUCAGCAGAAUCACGAACGUCGCUAGGCGGGACCGUCACUAGACUAAGGCGUUAGCGUCAUCUGUUCAUUCCUGAGACCGCACAAUCAACCGUGACGCCUAUGUUUAUCCCUCAGACCGCACAACCAGAGACGGUGAAUGCAGGAACCGUGAUGCCUAUGUCACUAGUACAUGGCACAUUAUACACGCGGUUGGUAAGGCGUUUUCCAGCACCGCCUGCGCUGGGGGCCAGUAGAAAUCGUCCAUUUCCACAGGCGGUUGCUUGAGAGCCGCCAGUAGAAACCGUUUACACAGACGGCUCUCUUAGGGAACCGCCUGUGUAAAUGCACAUUUACACAGGCAGUUCCCUAAGAGAACCGCUCGUGAAAACCUAUUAAAAAUGUAUUAUUUAUUUAUUUAUUUAUUUAUUAUUUUAUUAUUAUUAUUUAAAUAUAUUGAUAUUGGUUGGUCUUCAAACAUAGCAACAUGCAAUUUAAAUACUUCAUCUCAUACAUACAUUUGUAUACAUCAAAGUUUGGUGCUCAAAGACAUAAAGUUAAUUACAAGAGUAUAUCCAUCAUCACACAUCAUAUAUAUAUAUACUUCAAAGUUUGUUUCUGUCCUCUAAUAACCCUCUUUAGUAAGUUUGAGUAAACUAGUCUCUGUUAGCACUCGGAACUGUGACCUGGAUAAUUGGCUUUCAUCAUCAUGAUAUUUGCCUUCACGUGGAAUGACAUGCUUCAUGAUGAACGAGUAGAUGUCCUCAACUAUGUUGUCUAAAGCACGUUCGUCCAUGCGUUCCGCCGUCCCUUGCUUAUAUACCUGCAAAGAAAGUUUAUAAACAUUAUAUAUUUUAUGACUUCCAACUUUAAUAAACUAUUACUUAUAUUACCUUGUCAGGGUUCCUUGCAUAUCGUUCGUUCUCUCUCAUGUUCUCGCACACGUAGUAGCCACAGAGGACACAUAAGGGUGGCUGCUUCAUGCACUGUAUAACAGGAGAGUGGUUAUUUAAUUAGAGUUGCAACUGUGGUCCUAUGUGUAUGAUUUGUAUUCAUAACAGUAAAUUUUUAUAUGUAUCGGCCAGUUAUGUAUAACCUCCAAUGGUUUUCCUGGUCUGUUGGACUCACACUUUCUAUAGUUUAUCUUAUAGAACCUGUAUGCCCUAUGAUCUCAAAUAGAAUCACCAUGUUAUUGUCAAACUCUCACUAUGCUUAAGUAUGCAUGCAUAGCUUGACUUACAGCUCUAGAAGUUUGAUGAAUGGAGCAUAGCUUUCUUUCGGGUAAUCUGUGGAGUCUAGUACCAACACCCUUUCCUCCUUGGGAUAAAUGAUGAAGCAUAUCCAGUGGUUCUUGCUCGAAUUAAAUCCAUGAUGCAUUUAUGCAUUGGAAUAGUUUAGAUAGAUAUUUGUAAACUCACACUUACCCAAAGUGGUACGGGGCCACCACCGCUUUCCUAUCUUGAAACUUUAUUAGUGAAUGUCCAAUAUAGAAGGCGUAUUUGGCUUCAAAAUCAAGUUUCAACUUUUGGAGUUUCUCAUCCCGUUCCGCACCUUCCAAACCCUAUACCUCUGUGCUGGCAUUCCCGAUCCGAAAUGUGUGCUGAUUUUUGGCUAUAUCUAUUGGGAAGAGAUAGCCAUUACUUUCUUCGACACAAUAAUUAAAGUUCGAACCAAAAUACAAAUCUUGUUGAUCAUAUAACAUUAUGCAAGACAGAAGCAUGUCAGAUAUUGAAAAUUGAUGCAACUACAAUGUGUGUAACUAUGUAACACUUACAAUGCAAAUGUCGUUACGAUCUGUACAUCUAGCAUCUUGUGGUUCAUCAGUGCCCACAUGUCAUCAAAUGUAAGCAUGCAUUUGUCAGUAUUCUGGCUAAGAAAUGCUAUUUGUGGUAUGCGCAUGCUUAUGGUGUCGAUGCCAGCAGAAGAGGCUCUCAUGUACCAGUCAUGAAACCUUUUUAUACCACUUGGUUUCUUCAUAAGUUUGGCCCGACUGAGUAGAGGCUUUCCCCACACAUACUUUUUGGGGAUAUGCUUGUAGUCUUCUGCAGUUGGCACCUUGAAUUUGACAAGAGUUAUGACCUUAGGCGCCGGCACCUCUGACUUUGCUAGCUCAGAAAUCUCAUGCUCUUGUACUGUUCGUUUAGAAGCAAUGCUUGACAAAAAUCUCACUUGACCAGCUGAUUUUUUCUUUGGCUCGUAUGAUGAAAUCAACUUGGGUAUCGGAAAUACUUUCUUCUUAAUUGGCACCUUUGGUGGCUCACUUCUUGGUUCUGGAUCUUUGAGUUAUGGGGAAGGGGUGGAAUUGAAUGGUGGUGGAGAUUGUGUUGACUGUGGGGUAGAAAGAUCAUGGAGAGGAGAUGGUUGAUGGACAGGGAAAACAUGGAGAGGUGAUUCUGGUGGGUCAGGAAGAGACUGGGGAGGUGAAGGCGGUGGGUUAAGAAGAGGAUCGACAUGAGCUGACGACUCCUGGGUGAGUGGCAUGUCUUGAGAGGGUGGUGGUGGCUCCCUUAGUUGCACGUCCCUCGGAGGCGAAACGAUGAAAUUGUUUAUCGUCUGUCUUAGUUUCACAAUGUCCUUAGGACUAGGGAUGUCUAGAAUUUCGUCCUCAUAUCCUUGGACCACGGUUGAUACCUCUACUCUGCAGUAGUCUUUACAAAUGUCAGCACCAUGGUAUUUAGGUCCUCCUGGGAUCGCUUUGUCUGUGGCUACUUCCCUUGUACGAUGAUUGUUAAUCCCAUAUCUUAUGACAAGGGAGCAAGGUGUAGAAGUAACAAUGUCGUCAACUGGAUAGUGAUCCUUGUUUGCCGUAGAUGCGACACUGCUUGGAAUGAUUGUUUCACUCGGUGCCACCAACGGUUGCGACACCACUAGGACUAACUGCAUUUGGGGAGCUUGAGUGCUCAUCUGUUGAUUGGACACGGCACUUGCUAGUUUCUGCAUCAACUUAGGAGGAGGGUUUUCUAGCAACUUCCCCAUCAUCUCUUGGAAGUCUUUCUUAGCCUCUGCCUGAAAAUAAUUUGCCAUUUGUUCCUUGUACUGAUCACGUUUCUUAUACUCAUUUUUCCACUGAGGGCCGAAUCCAUCCUUCCAUCCUUCUUUGGAUGAGAUGCCUCGAACACGGCCAGGAUGCUCGGGGUUACCGAGGCCAACACUCAGGAUGUCCCUCUCCCUUCGUGGCGUGAACUUGCCUUCCUGCUGCAAGCCUGCCACUGCAAAGAUGCUCUUCAUUGCUUCACCAAGCAUUGGGUCUUCAAAGGACACACUCGUCUCGGUUUCCUUUGGUUUCCGAGCAUCGAUCCAAUUCGCGGACCUUUCACCGACUUGCUCGGACAGCAUUGGCAACCCUACUGCCUUCUUCGCAGCCUCUUCUUGCCUCUAUUUAGGAACUUGGUGCUGGUAACCACCUGUGCCUAGAUGGUGGUGGUACUUGUUCCUCUUUGUGAGUUGGGAGUUGGCUUCGCUCCAAGCUAAGAAGUUAGGGUCAUUCCUCUGCUCUAGAAAAACAACCCACUGCCCUUUAGUAAUCUUGUAUUUAGUUGUCGGAUCCAUCUCUAUCUUUGCAUACUUGACAUUCAUCUCCGACCUCCAAUUUUGGAAACUAACCGCACACUGCUUCAUUGUAUAUGCCUUUACUAAAUCUUCUGGCACAUUCAUAGGAAACUGGAACCCCGUCUUAAUCUUAUCCCAAAUUUUGAUCUUGUGAUUAUUCGACACACCGGACCAGUUCUUAAUUGUGAUAUCAAGAAAGUCCCUCACAUAGAAACCAAUUGUGUUUCUGUAUUUGGGUAGGGCCUCCUCUGGAGCUAGGGCUGUCCGGUAGGGCUCACAUCUGUGAUGGCAUAUGUGUCAUCUAGAAAUUGGUUCAACCCUCUCUCGCCUCGUUUCAAACCUAGCCGCUUCCUUUUCCUCUCUCGUCGUUGCGGUCGUCGGUUUCGGUGCGUCUUCGUGUGCCACUUCCUCCUGAGACAUCAUCACUCUAAACUGAGACAUUGCCUCCUAAGUAUAGACAUGUGAAUCAUGGGCGUGUUUCUAUAUAGAAACUAUAAAUAGAAAUCAUUUAAUUACAUGAAAUCGUGAAUGUCUCUAAUUUACCUCAUCGGCUUUUGGAUUGUAAUCGGGGUCACGUGCCAAUUCACAACGAGUCUUCCUCACUUCUAGAGGCUCCAUGUCGUCGCUAGCUUCUUGUUCGUAGGACGAUCCUGAUGCUUCGCCCGUUUCUACUUGUUUCGUGACCUCACGAUCUUUUUCCAUAGGGUGGGAUGACCCUUCUACUUGCUCUGUGGUUGGGACUGCAGUGCUUCGUCCUUGUGCGGAGAACUCAUCGCAGAAAUCUAUGUAAUUUAUAAAUAAAAUUAAAUUUAUGUAUAAAAUUAAAUUUAUGUAUCUUGGGGUAUAUACACUAAUAUAUCGUACUAUACACCAAUACAUACACAAAGAGAUUAAAUUUACAUACACUAAUACACUAACAUAUUAUAAAGCAUAAAAUUAAAUUUAUGUAUUGUGGGGUAUAUACACUAAUAUAUCAUACACUAACAUAUACACUACUACAUAUAUAAAGAGAUUAAAUUUACAUACACUAAUACACUAACCUAUAUUAUAAAGCAUACAAUUAAAUUUAUGUAUCCUGCAUAUAUCAUACACUAACAUAUACACUAAUACAUACACAAAGAGAUUAAAUUUACAUACACUAAUACACUAACAUAUAUUAUAAAACAUAAAAUUAAAUUGAUGUAUCCUGGGGUAUAUACACUAAUAUAUCAUACACAAAUAUAUUAAAUGAUUUACAAAGAGAUUAUAACAAAAAGAUAAAAUUAAAUUUACAUAUACACUAAUACAUAUACAAAGAGAAAUAAUAACAAGUAUUUAUAAAAGGAAUAACAAUUAUUUAUAAAAUAAUAACUAUGAAUAAAAUCACAUGUAAAAGACAUAAUAAUAUCUCCUGAUUUUAUUUUUAUUUUUUCUGAUUUUUAUAAUUUUUUGCCUUUUUUAUGGUUUUAUUCAUUUUUUAUAAAAAAUAAAUUGUUAAAGUAAAAAAAACUUCCCAGCCCGUGACUCCCUCUCCAUUCUCUCCCUCUCUCUGGCAGGUGGGCCUCACAUGUCGGGGUUGUCCCCUACCUCUAGCCACUCCGCGCCCGCCCCUUCCACCACCACCGCACACCGCACCCACCCCUUCCCCUUCCACCACCGCCACCGCGGCCGCCCUUCCCCUUCCACCACCACCGCGGCCACCACCCUUCCCCGUCCGGUGCAGCGCCACCACCGCGCCCCCACCACAGCCGCCGCCGCCACGUCGAGGAUACGCAGGGAGAGAGAGAGAGAGAGAGAGCGAGGAGGAGAGGCUCACCGCGGGGCGGCUACGGCGUCGAGGGCGGAGGGGUCCGGCUACGGUGUCAAGGGCGGAGGGGUCCGGCUACGGCAGCAACGGCGUCGAUGGCGGCUACGGCGGUGGUGGAAAAUUCGGCAGCCUGUCGGCUUAGUUUGAAUGAACAGGGCGCCAGACUUAGAAAAAUUUUGGGCGGAGGAGACCGAGGGUUAUAUACAUUGGCACUAGUACAGGCGGUUGUCUAAGAUAACCGCCUGUAGAAAUAGUUUCUACAGGCAGUUGACUAAGACAACCGCCAGUACUAAUGCAUUAGUACUGGCAGUUCUCUAAGACAGCCGCCAGUACUAAUGCAUUAGUACUGGCGGUUCACUCUGAGGGCCGCCUGUAUAAAUGUAUUUUCAGUUUAUUUAAAGUUUUCCUUAUAUAUAUUUUUAGAAAUUAUUUAAAUGAUUUAAAAAAUCAUAUCUUCAAAAAUAUUUGUCCUAAAUUAGUGAAAAAAAUUUUGUUAUGUUCCUCUUGACUAGAUACACAUGUUAAAAAUAUGAAAUUUCAUGUUUGAGGUACUUUUGUAUGCAGCUUUAUUUAAAAUGAUUUAAAUUGAAUAUGUAUCUCAUAUCUUGCUUAAUACAUAAAUAAUUCUAGGAAUACCAGAAAAAAGUAAAUCCAAUUUUGUUAGCUUUAUUGUAGUGUGUAAAUGCUAUGAAAAAUAUAUUCCUUUGUGCAAUUUACCGUUGACAAUAUAAAGGUGAGGAACUUAUAUGUUUGAGCAUAGUUCGGUGGAAUGGCUCUUCUACGUUUGUGAAGCAUGUAUCUUAUGCCUAUCUCUAAAUGUCUUAAAAAUUUUUUGGCAAGCUUCUACACUGAAAUGAUGAUCCCACACAAGAUCUUAGGAUUUUCUAGUCAUGCAAGCUAUUAUUACAUUUUUCUUUGUGCUAAAUGAGAUAAAAAAUGGUGGACUACACCUAGAUCCCACUAGGUUUUUCCACCAACCACAAGGAAGUUUUAUUUCCUAUGGUAUACAAGACCCUGUGGAGAAGUUUGGCACCAUUUGGAGUCAUUUUAGGGGUAGACUUAGUUCAAGCGCUAAUUAGUGGGUGACGUCGCGCGGAAAUUCAACUAAACCAGAUAAAGUAACAAACUACAUCAGAAAAAUCCCAAACUUGGUGGAUUGAACAUCAAUAGCACUAGUAAGCCUUGGUAAAAGUUUGAGACUAAUACUAUACCAAAGUGUUACGACAUGAUAAUUGUUAGAUGUAGAAAUAAGCAUAGGGUCUUACAUGUAGAAAUAGAGAAGGGCACAUAGCAUAAGGUACAUAUUUUAUCAUAAAUAGAUUUCAUGGCAAAUGACAAAUAAAAUCUAGACAGCUAUUGUUCUUCCUUGUCCAUCCUGACGCACCCAGGACAACGAGCUCUGUGGAAUGCUUCGCUCAACAUUGCUUAUCUUUACUGGAUGGUCAUCUACAAAGAGAGACAUGUCACUGAACUGGUUAAAUUCAUCCAAGUUAGAUACACCAUCAACUCCGAUGGCUUGUUGCUUUCUAGGGAAAACUACGUGCUUUGGAUGGUCUGUAAUUUUCUUCUUAUCAUUAGAAGAGAGGACCUGCUCAGCAUAGAAGACCUGUGCAGCACGGUUAGCCAUUAUCCAUGGAUCAUCUUUGUAGCCUACCUUGCUUAGAUCUAGAACUCUAACCCCAUAGUUGUCUACUGUGACAUGUUUGUCUUCAACCCAUUGACACCGAAAUUCAGGGAUCUAAAAUGUACCAUAGUCUAGUUCCCAUAUGUCCUCAACGAAGCCAAAGUUGUUUCCUCACCAGUUUCAGAGUCUAAGGCGUCACAUCGAACACCACUGUUUUGUGCCAUGCUCUUUUGGUCCUUGGACUUGGUACAGAACGUGAAGCCACUAAUGUCAUAGGUUUGCCAAGUCAUGACCUGGCGUGAUGGCCCAGAAGCGUAUGUGCCUCAUGUACACUAUCUUCUUAGAUGCAGUUAGGGACACGUAAGCGGUGUCAUCUAUACAUACCACACAACCAAGCUUUCCCUUGAACUGUCCUGAUAAUGUAAAGAGAGCUGGGUAGUCAUUGAUCGUAACAAAGAUAAUUGCUCUCAGUGUGAAUGAUUCUUUGCAGUACUCGUCCAAUAUUUAAAUACCUGUAUCCCCUAGUAUCUUCAUGUCUUGCAUUAAGGGCUCCAAGAAAACAUUCAUAUCAACUCCAGGCUGUGUAGGUCUAGAGAUAAGGAUGGUUAGUAAAAGGUACUUUCGCUUCUGCAUCAACCAUGGAGGGAGGUUGUAGAUGGUGAGGAUCACUGGCCAUGUGCUGUGCUUGCUGCUCCUAUCAGCAAAUGGAUUCAUUCUGUCAGUACUCAGUGCGAACCUAACAUUCCUUCGUUCAUUAGCAAAGUCCUUGUCGUUUUCAUUGAAAUCUUUCCACUGCUGGCCAUCGGCUGGGUGCCGAAGCUUCCCAUCAUCUUUGUGCUCAUCAGAAGCAUGCCAGCUCAUAAGUUGGGCAUCCUCUGGGUUAGCAAACAAACACCUCAAUCGAUCGACCAUAGGAAGGUACCACAUCACCAAAGCAGGAAUCUUUUUCUGCGCAUAAUAGUCUACUUCUUCCUUUUCUUUGCCGGUGGGUUUUGAACAACUCUUCUGGGUCUUUUGUUGGGCCUUCUUUCAUUUUUUUCCCUUAGGCACAGAGGCAACACACUCUUCCUCUAUGUAGUCUUUAUUUGUCUUGUACUGACUUACACCACACUUGGGACAGCUGCCCAAGUCCCUAUAAUCAUUGCCUCGAUAUAGGAUACAGUGAUUUCUACAAGCGUGGAUCUUCUCAACACCAUUGUGAGUGGGCUGAUUAGCUUCUUUGCAUAAUAUGUGUUAGCAGGCACUUUGUUAUCCUUAGGAAGCAUGUCUGCGAUAAUGCUCAAGAACGCAUCAAAGCCAGCAUCAGAAAGACCAUAUCUAGCUUUGCACACCAACAACUUUAGCACAGACCGCAGUGUCGUGAACUCUUUGGUGCAACCCUUGGACUCAUCAUACAAAGGCUCUUCUGCUGCCUUCAUUAGGGCCUCCAUACCUUUCAUGAAGAACACUGAUGGAUCUUCCGCAUGAUGACGCAACAUUGCCUCUAGAAAUUCUGCAUCUUCCACAGCCAUGUUAGUUUCGGUGCCAUCUUUAUUUCCACCAGCAAAACCAUGAUGAGGAUCAUUUGGCACAACAUGUUCAGUGGCUAGACCAUCAGUAUCAGGUUGUUGUGUCUCGUGUACGAACUCAAACCCGUCAACAAUUCCAGUUCUAUAAGGUGUAGAGCUACCCUCUCCAUGCUUUGUCCAAAUCAAGUAAUCUUUCAUAAAUCCUCGACGGACCAGAUGAGUAAGGAUUUGUUGAAUGUCAUCAGAUACAACAAGAUUUCUACAAUCCAUGCAUGGACAAUGUAUGUGCGUCUUUCUUGUUCCUGAAGCAUGGUUUUGAGCAGCAUCAAUAAAUCUCUGGACCUCAGUUAUGUAUGAUGGAUCUAGUCUUGAUAAAUUAUAUAUCCAAAAUGACCUCUCCAUCACUACCUGUAAAACACCAUUCAUAUGAUCUAAGGGUUUACAAAGGAUUUAUCUAGGGUUUAUUAGCUAGGGUUUAUGGUUAAGCUUGAGAUUAAAGGAAAAAAACUAGGUUACAUAAUUAAAAAAUAAUCUAAGUACAUAGCAUAAUUAUAGAAACCCACAAUCAUACAUUUCUCUCUCUAAAAUUGAGAAGCAAUCAUGAAAAUGGAGAGAGGAGAGGCAUUAUCCAACCAUAUUAAGCAACCCCAUGUAACCAUAUCAACAAAUAAAGACAAGAAGCUAGCUAUUCUUUUCUCUCACUCAUGGAACAUACAUACAUGUGGAUACAUAAAUUGAGAAAUUUAUAAAGAGAGAGAGACAUAAAUUAGAAAACCUAAUUAUAGCAUAACUAUAUAAAUACAGCAUUCAUUAUAAAUAGAUAGAUGAUGUGGAAGGUGAUAAUAAAAAACCUAACUACCAUAUAACUAAAAAAAUAAAAAAUCAACAAUUAUCUCUACAUAAAUAUACAAGAACACAGCAUUGGUUUAAUCUUGUAAAAACUAGCUAAAUUGAGAAGCAAACAUGUUGAGAGACAUUAUCCAACCAUAUUAAACAACCCCAUCUAACCAUAUCAACAAAUUAAGAUAAAAAGCUAGCUAUUCUUCUCUCUCACUCAUGGUGAAACCCUAGAUCCAAAAAGUGGCUCAAAUUGAGCUAAAAUGAGCAAAUUGAGGCAAUAGGGACAUAAACUAACCUUUUUUAGCAACCUCCUUCCCAGAAAUGAAAAUCAAAACCUCCCCCUUAUAUUUUGAGAAAUCUAGAACUCCAAAAUUGCCCCCAAUGGAAGGUGGGUGCGAGAUACUGUUCUGGUCGGGGAGGAAGAAGGGGUAUUUAUACAGAGAUACCACAGGCGGUUGCUUAAGCCAACCGCCUGUGAUAAACGGUUUCCACAGGCGGCUGGGAUCUCUGACACCGCCCCAUUAUACCACAGGCGCGUCGUAACUGAAACCGCCUGUGGUAUAAAAAGGGGGCGCCAGCUAUGAGCCUGAUUCUACUGGUGUGUAGAUUCAAGAUGGCAGACUCAAGGGAUGAAUAGUCUUUUCUAAACUAAUUGUGCCCGUUAGCCAAUAUAACUACAGAAGUAAUAUAUAAAUGGGCUAGCCAAGACGUGUAGACCUCUCUAUCUAUGUUGCAAGAACCAUAUAAAAAGAUCUUAAACAAGUUAUCAUUAAGGUAUCAAGCUAGUGGUUACAUAAACAAUUCUAGUUAGGAACAUCACACAAACCUAUGCAAUUAAUAAACUAGGCACAAGUGAGCUCCUACACAUACUAGUGAGCACGAGCGUAAAGGCAGCAACAAUAGCACUACUCAACUAGCUAAUCUCUGCCACUACAUGAAAAGUUUGCUCUAGGCACAUUUUUAUAGUAACGCACACUAAAAGUGUCUCUAUAUAGUCAUGUAAAGAUAUUUUUUGACAUGAGUAACACAAUUUUAGACACGUUUUUAGUGUUAUAAGGUAUCUAAAACCACUUUAUAUAUGAUGAUAUUAUAAAUGUCUCAAAGCCACAUGGUGCUAGACAUGCUUUUAAUCAUCAAUAGCUUCUAGACAUGUUACAACACAUAUCAUAAAGCGCUUCACAGCUAAUUAAAGAUGUUUUUGACACAAUACUAAACAUUUUCUCAAAAUAAAACAAAGAUAGACAUACUUUAAACCAUCACUAUAAUUUAUACACGUUACAAAAAAAGCAUAGUAUCAAUAAUCAUAUGCAGUCACGUAAAGAUGCUUCUUGAUACGAUAUUGAAAACAUCUCAAAGUGAAAUAAAAUUAGAUGUGUCUUCGUCAUCUCAGUAACACAUAGAGACAUUGUAAAAAAAAUAUUUAACAUAUGUUACAUAUCUAAGUUCUAUUCGAACAUAUUUUUUCUAUAAAUCUAUAGUUACUAAUAAGCAAUCAAUAUAGCCACAACACACUGAGAGACAUUAAUGUAAAGAAUCAACAAAAUAUUUUCACUGUUGCUAAACAAAUACGGGCCAAAGCUAAACAUUUGUAUUAUACUUAUAUUGCCACAAAAGUCUAUUUAUUACAAUUUAAAAUAAUUUUCUUAACAUUCCAUCUCAAGUGUCUUUAGUACAUAUAAUAUAAUGAAAAAGAACGCAAAAAGAUACUCUAGGAUAUAUCUUGAUGGCUAGAGGGGGUGAACAUCCUAUAAAAAUUUUGUCUAGAUUCACUAAAACUAGAGCAAAGUAGUUAUUAGUAUAACAACAAAGCCUAAUAGCCACUACUUUGCCCAGCUCUAUCUCACCUAAAGAAAGCCCCUAAACAAUUAUAGCAGCAAAUGAGUUUAUACCACUAGAGAACUCAACCACACAAGGGCAAGGGCUAGCAACUAAACAAGCUACACUAAAGAGCUAAUUAGCUAAACUAGAGAAACAACUAAAACUAGCUACUUUACUACUAAGGCUACAACUACACUAGUGAGCUACAACUACAAACAACGUAACUACUAGCAAUAUAUGAAUGUAAAGCACAAGUCAGUGGGCAAACCGAGCCAGGCAAGAGAGAUGACAUAAUCAUUUUUUCUCUCGAGGUUCAGUUGCUUGCUAGCAUCUUACCUUGUUGUGGCAAGUCUAUAGGUGAGUGAUUCGCACUCUAACAAGCCUCUCAAGGUUGAACCACAACUUGGGUGUUGCAAGAAUCAAUCACAAAGAGUACUCUAACUAGCCAUGAGCAUUCUACUAGAGUAGCCCUUUGCAAUCUCAGCAGGGUGGGCUCAAAACCUCUCAAUGUUUGAGAAGACCCCACACAAUCACCACGGUGGUCGAUGAUCCCAGUAAUCUCCAAGCUGGAUAGGUGACGACAAUCACCAAGAGCAACAAGAACACCGAAGCCGCCACACUCAACUAGUGCCACAAGAUGCAAUCAAUGAUGCAAACGCACUAGAGCACUCCCAGUCUCACUCAAAUGUGAUCUCUAAGGAGCAAAGUGAGUGGAGUGUGUGUCUCAAGCUCUAGAGGGAGUAGACAACUAUUAGGUUUGCUAAGAGAGUGGCCAAGGCUAGCAACAAAGGCUAUUUAUAAGCCCACCAAAGAAUCCAACUGUUACCCUCUUGUGUUAGCAUUUUCAUGUGCACCGAAAACCUCCAGUGAGCACCGGAGUUUUCCAGUGCCUAGAAAACUAGUCGUUUCUGAAAGGAUCAAGAUGCCCAAGAGGGGGGUGAAUUGGGUUAAUUCUAAAAAUUAAAACGGUAAUUAAACCCUACUAGCCCAUUUCACCCCCUCGGUGCCUAAAGUGUGUCUCCUAGCAAUUCUACUAGGAUAAAGUUUUGCACCCUAGGUUCCAAUCCUAUACUAGCAUGGCAACUCUAGGAAUGUAAAGACAAUUAAAAUACUUGAAAGUAAAUGCUCAAAGUAAAGAGGAUAGGAACGUCGUGAUGUUUUUCUGAGGUAUUGAAGAGUCAUCACUCUCCACUAGUCCUCGUUAGAUCACCCAUGCAAGAGUGUAGCUCCCGCUUGAUCCACGCAAGGAUCAAGUGCUCUCUAUGGGCUGAUUAUUCGUUGCUUCGACAUGGUGAAUCACCCAAAACCGCUCACAAGAUGAGUUGGGUCAUCCACAAGCUCUGCAGAUGAUCACCAAGCUCCCAUUCACCACCAAGUCAUAUAGAUGAUGGCGAUCACCAAGAGUAACAAGCACAAACUCUCACUUGACCACAACAAGUCUAAUGAGAAAGGUGGAUGCACACUUGCUACUCCCUAUGCACUAAUGAGGUCCUUAAUCUUGGACUAUGAAAUCACAAACACCUCACUAGGCCUUGCACUCCCUUGCUCUCAAAUUGUUUAGCUUCAACUGAACAAAUGGGAAAGAGAGCUAUAAUGGACGAGUAGGAGUUGUAUUUAUAGGGCCUCCCCACAAAUCUAACUGUUAACCUCUAUUUCAGCAACUGGCGGGGUCAUCGGACAUGUCGACGUCAAGCGUAUGACGCAUUCAAAAUUUGUACUGAAGAAGUUGACCGUCAGGGUUGUGUUGGACUCUGGCCAGCGUCUGAUGCUUACCCAUCAAACGUGUCUGAUGGCCCUUGGAGCAAACUCAGACCCCUGCAUAGUGUCCGGUGCUAGGCCCAGCAUCUUAUGGUAAACCCUAGUGGCGUCCGACGCGUUGCAGGAGAGAGUUCUUGCUACAGUGUGAGUACCGGUGCGUCCAACGCCAUGGCGCAUGUGCAUCUAACGCACCCUUUUUCCUUUGCUAUGCACGUGUUGCACUAGUCGAACGCUAACGUCAACGUCCGACGCUCACUUCUUCAGCGUCCAACAUAGUAGAAAGUCCUUGUUUCACUUCCAAUUAAAUUUCUUUGUGAACUAAGUGGACCUCAACCAAUCUUAGGGCCAAAUUGAAGCUACCUACUGCUAAGUUUGACAAGUGUGCACCACACCUAACCAUUAGGCUCAAUUAGGUCAAGCUACUCAUUUGCACUCCCACCCCCCCCCCUUAAUAGUACGGCCAAAGGAAAAACAAAGUCCUAACGACUAACCCGAACGUCAUUCAACACCUUCGACGCUCGAAACUAACCGUCCUUAACCUUAUCGUCCAUGCUUUGAAAACCAAAACAAUUUCCAUCGACAAGGGGCAUGAAGAACAUAUUGCCCAAGAUUUGUCAUUACCAUGAUCUAACACUCUAAUAUUUUUGCAAAACACACGUUAGUCAUAGUAAUCAAUGGUUAUCAUCAAUCAUCAAAACCCAUUCUAGGGCAUAGAUGCUUUUAGUUUCACUUGUCAAAGCUCUGAUGCAACUUCUGGUUAGGGCACCAGACAAUCCAUUCAGUGUAAUGCCUCAAAGUGUAGUUUUGCAACCUCUCUAGAAGAACCAUCCAGUGUGCACUUCGGUGUAGCACUAGACAGCUACAAUGAGGUCUUUUGGAGUUCCUAUGUGUCUAGGUGUGUAUUGUGCGAGUACUCCGGUGCCACCUCUCUGGUGCACACUGGAAUGCAAUGUGCACCCCUGAAAUUUUAGCUCACCUCUAUGCACUAUAGGAUCUCCCUAGUAGCUAGGCACUCCAAUGCCACACGAAGCUCUUUAGUGAGUGUCAAAACACUACACCAAGUCUUGUUUCUAGCCAUCUUUGCAAGCUUGCUGAUUCUAAAAUGAUUUUGCCAAACAUUGAAGCAUCGAGUUGGCAUUUUUCUAAGUGUUUUCUAAAACAUUUUUCACUUUCAGCUCACCACAUCAUGGGGUCUAAUGCAUAUGCAUGUUAAUCAACACCUAGUGACAUUAGAUAACUACAUUGCUUUAGAGUUUCGCUCUUAACAGUACAACUAUAUCCUAAACCCGACCACUUACUCAAAUGUGUCUCAACCAGCAAAAGAAAACCCUAAUUUAUAUACCUUUGCCUUUGGGUUUGCUCCUCAUUUCUUCUCUUACCUUUUUCUCCAAUGUGAGCACUUGAUCAACUUGUGGCCAUCUCCUCCUCCUUGGAUGCCAUCUAGCUCAAUCCUUGGCUUGGACAUUACCUAGCUUAAUCAAUACUUAAGGCAAAAGGUUAGUCCACUAGUUGUCACUCAAUUACCGAGCUCUCAAAUAGCAGCUUUGCCAUGCUCUUAAAUACUCUCAUGGGCCCUGGUGCAGCCGUUGUACGAUUUGCCCCCGAGGUGGCCAUGCCCAUUGGUCGGGCGAACCACGAUAACAGCAACAGAGAGCUAGAGGCAUGGUGAUGGCAUAGCAUGAAUUUGGCACAGCAAGCUCUGAGGGAAGUGGCUCGUUAGGCUCUAAAGGCACAAGGAAGGAGGGUGGGUGGGAGAGGAAUAGACAGAUGUGAUAACGUUGCGCGUUCUUUUUUUUACAAAGUGAGGUAACGGGAGACCCAACAUGGUGCAAUUUUUUUCCUUAUUUAACUUUGAUGAAGGACUGAUAUUUUUUAUGUUGGGGAUUUUGAUGAUGGAAAUAUACUAGGGACUAGCAGUUUUUUUAAGAUGGGAGACCAAAUAGUAGAACAAGGUAUCAGAAGGCAAUAGGCAAGAAAAGGAAGAAGGGUUGUAUUGUCAAUUUACCUUUUUUAUCUAUUAGCGGAAGCUGUUCUACCAAAUAUUUUACCAAAACGGUUUCAGCUCAACCAGUCGAUGGUAAAGGUGAUCUUGGAGCCAAAGCAAAAAAAAGAGUGUUAAAUGGUGCCUAAGUAUCCUAAUCCUAUCUAUUACAUGAAAGUAAUGGCCACGUACAGUCCAGAGACUGCUAAGGCUUUGUUUGGCACAGCUCAGCUUCGUGAAGUUGUUUUUAAGAAAAUAGUUUCAUGAGCAACUUUUUAAGUAAAAAGCUGAGAUGUUUUAUAAAAAAAUUAUUUGGCAAAAUAGCUUCACCAAUAAUUCAUGCAUGGAUGAAAGAAAGAAACGGGAGAGAAAGCUAAAAUAGGCUACUUUUUUUUGCUUUAUCGCAACUUAUAUCUUUGUGAAAGGAGAAGAAAAAUAGCUUCAUCCAUAAAAUUGUUUUCAAAAAGAGCGUAUAGCAAAAAACAAAGUUCACAACAGCUCAUGAAAUUGUGUCAAACAGACCCUAACGAUCUUAUAUACACGUGGAAGUAACACAAAAUAUGCAAUGAAUUACAUCGAAAAAUGUCUACCAGCAUUCACGGCCGUCAGCCGAGGUGGCAAAAGGCGGUGUCACGUGGUCCAUCAAGGACGACGACGUCCACCGUGGCGGUGGCCUAUCCCCGGCGUUCACGGUCGAGACGUCAUCUGGUCGGUCCCCACAGCUGCAAGACCAGGUGCUGCUGCACCCUGCUUGCCGUGUGCCGUGGGCUGCUUCUCGAGGCACAGCGGAUGGAACUCUGACGUGCAACUGUGCAAGACAGAGCAUGCAUGGCCGAUGGUGUGCUGGCCGGUGUUCGCGGACCAGUACACCAACUGCAAGUCCGCAAGUACGCCUGCGAGGAGUGGGGCAAUAGAUAGUGACCAGCAGACGGUGUUCCAUGGCUCAUCCAACUCGGAAGCCUGAAGGCUACUUCGACUUGUUGAGAUCUGUGUGUGAAGCUGGAAUGUGUCUGAAAUAGUUUGCUUGCAUAUCGAGUUGAAUUCAACAAAAUAUGUUUUUGAUAAGGGGUUAAAAACAGUCCUUUACACAACCUUGUGCUGAUGAACUAGGCCUUGUGAUAGAUUGCACGAGCAAACAAAUAGACCAAAGGGGGGGAAAAGAGGAAAAUGUCUUGCCCCCUUUAGAGUCAAGAGUUGUACGCAACAUGAACACGCAGAGGGAUAUACCCAGCAAAGAUACAGCACACUGCUGAUGACCAAAUACAGAGUCGAUCAAACCUUGCCCAUAUUUCUAAUUUUAGGCAUCCUGGAUAGAUCAACAAGUAUUUGGUAUACUUUGGAAUGGGGUUCAUGGUGGCAAAAUCCAUGUUGCAUGUUGGCAAGUUUUAGUGCAGCCACAUUGCUCGGAACAACAGUCGACUUGAAGCUAUCUUGAAGCCCCAAAUCAACAAGUUGUCAACUUCAGCUCCAAAUCAGUUCCUUAUCUCGCUCCCAUUGCAUUCAGUGUCGACCUAGAAGAGAGCAUCAGUCAUGACUGACACCACCACAACCAUCCUCACAAAAAAAUGAUAUAAAACCACAAACAUCCUGAAAAUGCACAGGUUAGAUCAAAUACAUGUUGGUUCAAACGCACAACCUCUGGUCUACUUACUACCUAGAAUUGAGAUUUUGCUGAUAUGACUAUGCUUCAAGUUGGAGUGUCAAAGUACCCCAGUAUGCCACUAUGCAGGUUAUAGAGUGGCAUCAGCAAAUCAUUCGACUUCUGCUAGAAAGAUACAGCUUUACUAUACAGAAAAAAGUACAGAACUGAAACAUAGAACACUGCCCGUAGGAAACACAUACGACUAUUCCUGCUGUUUAGUUGAUUAAUUCAGCUAAUGCAAUUACCAAGUCCUAGUUACAGGUGUGAUACCAAUCAACUAUCAUGUAUAGGUAUAGGUAUAGCUCAAUCUGAUUGCCUUCAAUUUCAGCCACAUUAAGAGACAACUUAACCAAUUUAGUGUAUUAUCACAUCAUAGGAACAGGUUGUCUGCUGAAGCAAUUAAAUAAAACAGACACUAGUUUCCCUCUCUCGUCAUAUAGAGAAUACAUGGAACUAUAACACUAACAGCUGCAUGCAUCAGUAACAUUACUGGAAGACCAAACAUAAAAAAGUGUUCCUGAUCACAUGAACCUAUAUGUUGCAUUGCAUAAGGUUAUAUCGGCAUUGCUACAGUUUUGUCAGAAGAAAAAUAAAUAAAUAAAACUGAUCACGAACCAGCUUUCUUUGCAAAGCAACAUCAGCAUAAACAAUAUUAAGGACAAGUUCUAUUAAAAGGAGCAAAAGCACUGUGAUCAAACAGUAUCAGUGUACACCAGUGUACUUCAUAAUGAACUGCUUCCAUAUGGCUCUAGAAUAUUGGUUCUCCAAGCUAAAAACAUGUGCCUUAAGGUAGUUAGGCCACAUAACAUGAUCCAGAUAUUAUGCACUAUUCCUUAAUCAUUGAACAAGUUAUGUGCAUAACCAAUCGACUGACUAAUCUUGUUCCACGUGAAAUACUACUAUCACCCUUCUGUAGGUAUUGCAAAACUUAAUCAAUCAAGAGAAAACAAAACAAAAGGUCCACAUAAAAGCAUUCAGGGUUAUAAAAGAUGCUGAGGUGAAACUUGAACCACACUGACUACCGAGUAAUACUUUCUGAUUGGCUAAUGAAUAAUAAUCUAUGCACAACUACUAAUAUGGGUUUACUUACCUCUCAUUUUUUCCAACCAUUCAAUAUGUUGUAUACUAGUCGUCCGAAGCCCUAAAAUUGUGAUGCAGUAAUGAUAGAGUGCAGCCAAGUUAGCAGAGUGGCAAAUGUACCAGAACAUCAGGAGGCAGUGCACAGUUGAAACAAGGUACAUAUGCAACAACUUUCAGGUUGAUUAUAAACACAAAGAAAAGGAGAAUAACAGGUGCCCCAUGCUCAAUCUUUAUACCAAUUUAAGACGAUAGUGAGUAUUAUAUUAUGAAAAUUUAAUUUAAUUAAGAUAAUAUUUUUUCGUGACGUUACUUCACCACAUCCAGAAAUGCACCAAGAGGAGACAAUAACUGAUUCACGUCUUUAACUUAAAAAAAUGAAGUCAAUGAACAAAACAGGAUCGAAGAAAGAGGUGUGCAAAUAAAAUAUUGUACUAGUGUAGGGCUUAAAACUGGGGUUUCUAAGGGCAUGUACAACACCCAUAUGUGAACCAACCCUUAUAGGUAGUUAGGUGCCUAUCUUGUAGUGGUGGAGCUUGCCACAGGCAUACCAGAGAGCUUGCAUACAGGGCGUGUUUGGAUGCAACCGUAGCGAAAAAUUGCCUCGCCUGUAGCAAGCCUGUGACCUGCCUCAAUACAGAAUGCCAUCAUUAAUAUUAAAGACUGAAAGAAACGACUAAUACAGAAUGCCAUCAUUAAUAUCAAUGGAGGGAGUAUCACUCAAAUGAGCAGCAUCAAUACCACCAUUAAUUAUGCUUGUGAAAUAUGCCCCUACAUCCAUUGUUCCUGUAAUACAGAAUGCAAAUUAUUAUUGGUCAAAUAUUAAAGACUGAAAGAAACGAUUACUGAAUUAAAGAACAACUCGAGAGAGCACUGGACUGAAUGGUUGCAGAUUCAAAAGUGUGUGUUUGAAUAAAAAAACUCUCAAAGAGUAGUAAUAUCUCUACUCCCCCAUGCCCCACAGUAGAAACAACUGAAGUACGUUAUGGCACUGUCAAAGACUAAGGACAUACUAAAAGUGAAUGGAGGCACAUACAUGAGAAACAUACAGGAAUUGUAGGGAACAGUACCUUCAAAUAUGCUACUUCAGGGCUUCUAGCAUGCCGACUCAAGUGGUUAGACCAUUGCUGCAUUCCAUUGCAAAAGCUUUCUUUUGCUUUCCCUGAGACCAUUGUAGAUACACAAUACUCAUUAACAGAUAACCAAAUGAUUUUAAAAUAUUUUCUGUGCUCAAUCAUAGAAACCAAGCCCUCCCUUCUUUUGCUGCACAAUUUACUCAUCCUAAUGCAUGUGGAACUGUGCUAGUGUCAUAGCCAAAUGAUCUUCAGAGGCAGAACAAACAAUAAAAUACCCAUCCCACAAGAAUAAAAUGAAAUAUCAUGUUUAAUCAAUUAACUAAUACCCCUAUCAAAACCAAACAAAUUUGAGGUGUUAAAUGAUGGUUGAGAUUUAUCUAAGAAAAAAAAAGAACUUUGCUUGUAUUAUGAACCAAUGUAGCACAAAAGAUCUCAUCACAAAUGGAAUGAGAGAGACACAAGGGAAAAAAUAGAUUAAGAUAAUAUUUUUAGACAAGGCUGGAAGACUUAUUUUAUAGUACUAUUAAACAUAAACAAAGCUACUAUUAUGGCUAUUAGUUGUAUCGAUUAUUAAGUUUUUUUCAGGAAACUAUCCAUUAUUAAGUAGAAUAUCAACUACAACAACAACACCACUAUGCCUUUCAGCCUUAUUUCUAGCUAUAUAAUCAAUAGUACUGCUAGUCUAACAAUCAACAGUAAUGAUCAUGUUCGGUAGCUGAAGCCUACAUUGGUCUGCCCAAGUGAUUGUACAUAUUGCUGUAGAAUCAAAUAAGAAGGUCUGCAUAAUUUUUCCUUCAAAAUCAACUAUUUAACUCUAUUGAUGCAAUAUGUCACAGGCUUUACUUUAUAUGGAAGGUCGGAGGAAAAAGGCAAGGGAUAAAUAUGAAAGGUUAACAAAGUAGAGAGAAAGGGUGCAAAAGAAAGAAUAUUAUAUACCAUCAUAAGAAGGCAGAAGGACACAUAACCAAAGUUCCACUUACAGGCGGUAACAAAAGGAGGAAAAUCAAAAUUUUAAUCGCUCCUCUACGAAGCAAAAUGUUACACGUGCAUGCCGCACGUGCUUACCUUAUUUUGGGGAACACUCUUACCUUUAUUUUGGCUACUCGAGCCUUAUUUCGUCUCCUCCAACCCAUUGGCAGGGCCUACACACUCGAGCCUUAUUUGUCCUUACCCCCCCUUUUAUUGGGCCUUAUUAGGCUCGACUACCUUAUUAACUAUGGCACAAUCUGCCUUAUUUUGGCUACUCAAGCCUUAUUUGUCCUAGUCUAUGUAACGCGGUAAGAUUAAUAACCAAGGCAUCGGUAGCUCACUGGGGUCAGGUGGGGCCACCGUGAAGGCAGGCCCAGCGUACACUUUCUCCUUCUCCUCCUCCACCACCACCUCCUUCUUCUCCUCCUCCUCCUUCUCCAUCCUAGCUCGCUUUCGAGCAUCCCAACGCUCAUCAGAGCUACUGCCACUAGCUGCAGCAGCUGGUGAGCGGGUGGUGAGACUCUUUCUAGAGUCCCAGCGUGCAUCCGAGGGAGACCCACUCCCUGGUGAGCGGGUGAACCCCCAGCGUGGCCUCUUUCCUGGUCCCACGGAACCAGGACAAGGUCCAAGCAGCGCCAUUUUUUUGACAAGAGAGCGUUCGCAGAAGAGAGAGUUGGGGAGAGAGAGAGAGAGAGUUUAGGCGGGGGGGCUGCUGUUGAAUGCGCAAAGCACGGCUUCGCAGGAUUCAAUAGCAAAGAUCGGGUGUCUCUUCUCUAAGAAGAGACAUCCCGGUAAUCAAUCCAAAGCCUUUAAGCAACUCGUUAAACCCUUGGAUAGGCGAGGUGGGACUAACCUCGCGGGAGCUUGCGGCGGCCGCCGUCGCGCCCUCUUUCCGCCUCCCCGCCCCGCGCGCCCCCGCGGCCUCCGAACGCGCCAUCCGAGGGCUGAAUCGACCGCGCUGGCGAACUCUGGUGCGGUGCGGAUACAGGCGCGGAGGCCGGCGCUGGCGGCGUCCUGCUGUGUCCGGCGUGGGCGAUGGCCCUAGAUCGACGCGGUGUAGAUACGGGCGCGGAGGCCGGCGACGCACGAGAAACAGGAGAGAGAGAAAAAAAAAAGAGGGGGGAUUGCAGGCGGGUGCCGCUAGGUACCCGUUCCUUUCUCCACGCUGUGCCAACUCUGAUUGGGCCGAGGCUGGGCCGAACUGCUAAUUGGGCUGAGGCGCUUCCUCUCCGCCUUUUUUUUUUAAUUCAGGUGGUUUCGAGUUCGUCGGUGGGAGAGAACUGUCCGCCGGCACAGUGUCUGCACGGCGGCGCCAUGGCUGGAGCUCAUCGGACUUCGCCGAAACGGCGGAUCCGGGCUCGGAACUCGACGGGAAGGGCACGGGAGGAUGUAGAAGCUCACCAUGAACUCACCAGGGCUUGUAGCGGUCGGAGAGGUCUCGGUCGUGGCGUGCAGCUCGACAGGAGGCUCCGGUCUUCCUGCGAAGAACCGGCGGCGAUGAGCAACAAGUAGAGAGAGAGAGAGAGGAAGAAAGAGAGAGCGACGCUUAUGGCUUCCUCACGGCAAGGUGGAGCUCGGCGGACGGUUUUGGAGACCCGUGCGGUUGCGUUGGGCGUCAAUGGCGGCGGCGGGCACACUCUGCUUCGGCGAGAUCCAAACUGCGGGGCUACCUAGGGCGAGCAGGGCGGUGUAGAUCAAAGGGGCGAGGUCGGGCGUGGUGUCGGUCUUCUUACAGGGGCAGGCACCAGGCGUGAAGACUACGCAGUAUCCCGGAUCAAUCGGAGCUAGGCGGUGGCAAAUCCUUGAACGGAGUCCGUCUUCUUCACGGCGCGAGGUAGGUGAUGCGUCUGACAAGUGGGGCCCACGGUUCAGCGACAGCAUGUGCGGGCCGGCCUGGCAGAGAGAGCACGCGGGGCGCGGGUGAGCCGUGAGCACACUCCCGCUGAGGCGGCGGCCUUGUGGGUUGACAGCCCAUCUCGGCUUGACAGCCCAGCACACUCCCAGCAGUUUGAGCUCUACUGUAGGGAAUUAUUAUAUUACUAGUAAAUAUGCGUUGCGAAGGGAGGAAAUAAAUGUUCAAUUUGUUUGCUUUAGCUUGUUGCACAGCUGCAGUGGCUGCAAUAGCUCAAUCUUAAUACGUGACUUGAUGUUGUGAAUGGUUGCUGCAACAAUUACAAACGGACGGGUAGAAAAAAGAUGCCAAUGUUAAAUGUUUAUGUAUUAUUUUUUUUAAAAUUUAAAGAUAUAUUUUAUUAUAUGAUCAGUGUAUCCAUACAAUAGUAUAAGUUAAUAUGGGAAAUGAUAUGUCAAUGUUGUAUUAAUUAUGUAUUGAAUCAAAUUAAACCUAGAUAUGAUUUUUUUGGUCGUGGGGCACUAAAAUUUUGGUUGUAAAAUACUAUCAUGUGUUCACUAAGUUAGAUAUGAAAGUUCAAUGACUUAUUUUAAGAAUCUAUAAAAAUAUGUGACUUUAAUAUCUUAUUAAAUUUGGCAUGGGUUGGUCGUCAACAUGUUUAAAUUUUCACAUGUUAGCACUUGUCGAGAGUUGCACUGGUAUAUACGAAUAAUUGAAAGAUUUGCAUUGAUAUAUGCAGAUAACUUAGAGAUAAUUUAAUUCGGCAUGGGUUGCCGUUGGUCGUCAACGUGUUUAAAUUUUCACAUGUUAGCACUUGUGGAUAGUUGCACUAAUAUAUACGAAUAAUUGAAAGAUUUGCAUUGAUAUAUGCAGAUAACUUGGAGAAAAAUUAUUUUGAUUAGAUUAAAUAAAAAUUUGUUUAAUAGUUUAGUUUAUGAUUUAAUUGGUUAGACCAUUGACUGUUUCAUCAUAUUAUAGUAAUAAUUUAUAGAUUGUUUUUAUUUAAAAUUAAUAAUUUAGUAAUAGAAAUAUUUAUUUAUUAAGGGUUAGAGUUUUAAACAUAAUAUUGUAUUUAUUUUUACCUUUAUAUUAAUAUUAAAAACAUAAUACUUUAUUAGAAUGAAAAAAACAAAAUAAAAUCAUGAAAGAGGCAAUCACAGACAUCACCGUGUAUGAGCGGAGGUGAGGGAAGUUGCAGUCCAAUCUGUGUGUUUGGCUUUAUUUGUUUAGAAUAUUUCUAUUCUUGGCUUGAGUUAGUCACAUAGUUUUUUCCUUAUUAGUCCAUCACAUAAAGGCGUCUAAGUUGGACUUUACAACUGAGGAGUUUAAAGAAACCGUAAUUUAAUAGUUGAGCCGUGGAGCUAGGAUAAAUAAGGAAAAAACCAUAUCAUCUCACAUAACUUAACAUGGCGUGAUGGUUACAAAGUGCUAGUACCUAAAGGCCAUGGUUUGAAUCCCAGCCGUGGCUGAUUAUUUUUACUCUAUUUCUUGUCAUUAAACUAGAUUAGAGCAUCUCCAACAGUUAUGUAAUUGGACUAUACAUUCUAGAAAUUUGCUAUAAACCUUAAAAAUUGCUCUCCAACAGUUAUGGAUUUGACUUAUGCAUUUUGACAAACUUGGCAUUUGAUGGAACAAACUUGACAUUUUUGCAUAGGCAUAAUGGCUUCGUGAUUUUGAUAUCCCGAGUUUCCUAGACUUCUUGUCGUGCGUGACCUCCCCACGCGCUGCGGUAGUUUCCCACGAGGACUCCUCCCCGCGCGAACUUUUCUUUCCCCCGUGCCGCCGCCUCCUUUCUUCACGCCGCCUCUUUUCUUUCCCCGCGCGCAACUAGGAGAUAUGAUCCAUCGCCGCAUCCUCUCCUUCCUUCACGCGACACGAGGCUAUUAGGAGAGAUCCAUCGCCGCCUCCUCUCCUUCCUUCACGCGACGCGACGCAGGUAUGGUUGAGGUACUCCCUACGAUCCAGUCUUUUGUAUGCGGUUUGGAUUACAAUCUUUGGCCGGCUUGGAGUAGAAGAUGGCCGGUUGGGAGGAUGUUCUGGCCAUCUGGUUCAAGUACAUAUUGUAGAGGUCAUUGAUUUGGCGCUUGAUAGAUACAUGUCCUUGGCGAUUGAUACAUACGUGAACUCUGCGACCUGCGACUUCGUGGACUACUGGCGCGCGACGGAACUCUGGCGAACUGCGACUUCGUGGAUUGGCGGACCGGGAGGCUGCGAUUCACAGAAACGGCAGUGACUUGCGACUUCGUGGACUGGCAGCGACGAGCGACGGAAAUUCCUGCGCAGAGGAAAAAUCUCGCGCGAAGCGCGCCAAACAAAAAAAGAUCCCAGACAAAAAUAGUUGGGUCCACUAUUUUGGGAAAUGCCAAGUCAAAAAUGCCAAACACUUGGAGAUGGACUUAUUUUUCCGUUGACAAAACGUUUAGAGAUUUGGCAAAUUCCAAUAAAUGGCAACUUCCAAUUGCAUAACUGUUGGAGAUGCUCAGACUGACUAGAGAGAGCAUAGCAUGGAGUGAGCAAGUGUGAGACAGUUAGGCUAAAAGAAUGGACCAGACCAAAAUUAGGGGGGGGUGAGAAACUUACCUUUUUAUUAUUAGGUAUAGAUAUAGAUUAAACUUGGAUACAUCCUAUAACAAUUAACAAGCAUAGUUAACUUGGUGAAAACUAGAUUAGACUGACUGGAGAGAGCAUAGCGUGGAGUGAGUAAAUGUGAGACAGUUAGGUCAAAAGAAUGAGCCAAUCCAAAAUUAAGGAGUGAGAAAUUUUAUAUUUUUAUUAUUAGGUAAAGAUAUAGAUUAAACUUGAAUACCGUCCUACGACAAUUAACAAGCAUAGUUAACUUGGAAAUUGGCACGUGCGGUGAGAUGUACUGAUCCUUUUGUAACAGUGUUUAUUUGUGUUUGUGUACAUUCCAACAAAGCGAAUUCAAUGUAUGUUCGUACAGCUUAUUGGUGCCAACCUUAACCAGAGAGAUUUCCUACAGAGACAACAAGUCUGUUCGCUUGUUUGAAAACUUAUGGUUAAAAGUACUAUUUGUUGAUUUGCUGUGAGACAAAAAUAUUGUUGAAUUUGAGAGAUAAGCUCAAUCAAACAGUUCUACAUUGAAUCGAUUGCUUCACUGCUGGCUUUCCAUCGCAGUUUAUGCACUCCACGCUAGCUAGUGGUUAAGUUCGGUGCAUUGGAACUGGAGAACUGGCCACUCAAUGCAAGGAUAUGUUCCUAGCUUGAAUUCAGUCAAUGCUGUUCUUCCAUUCCCUGUGGCGUGAGCGUGACGAAGACAGACCGCCAAAUGGAACGGGUAUCCACCCCUCACGGCCCUUCUGUAGUGCUGCACCGAUGAGUCGUGUAAUAGGUAGAAGAGAUUUAAGCUUUAGAAAAAAUGGCUCUUCUUUAGGUGGUCCUUUUUUAAAACUUAUUAUCUCUAUAACCCUAAAAUAAACUUUCAGUAUUUAUAUGGCCUUUCGUCCAUUUUUAACAGUUGACAGUGUUAACUGGAGGGUAAAAAACCUGUUUUGCCUCUAGUGUAAAAAAAUUAAAGAGUUUUAUUUGUUUCUUGCAUAUUUGGAGUAAUAUUAAACAAAUAAAUUCACACAUAAUAGUAGGGCAUAUUUAGACAUCAUAAUAGUACAUAACAGUACAUAGUUUUUUUUAGGGAAACAGGAGGGGCUCAGCCCCUACUGGAAUUUUAUUAGAACUUUGCGAAAAAAAAGGAGAAGCUCCGUGUACAACCAUUAAGGCACAAAAAAAGAAACAAAAAAAAUAAGUAAGAUUACACAAAACUGUCUAGCCAUAAAUCUAUUGAGGGGUGAUAACGUGCUUUUGCUCUUAGAAUAACUAGAGCAAACUCCUUCCGAAAGACUGCUUUGCAACGUUGAAUUGUAUGCGCCAUAUUUCUGAAGAUAAUGUCAUUUCUCAUCAUCCAGAUUGACCAACACAUAGUAAUGAUGAUCUCCAUAAAAAAAGAACUCCCAUUUGAGUCCUAAGACUUUCCAAGAUGGUUGUGAUGUCAUCCGAGUUUGGUAUGAAAACUUGCAAACUAGCAGGCCAUCGCAAAGGGGCGGUGAAAGAGAAGAUGCAGCAGAUCUUCUUCCAGGUUGAGAGAACAGCAGACACAAUUGUAGUCUUCAAGAAACAUCCUUUUUCUUCUAAGUAGUGCUCUAGUGCUCAAUCUGUCACAUAGUACUAACUAGAAGAAAAAUUUCCUUUUGUUCUGACAGCAGGAAAUCCACAUCCAUCUGAAAGAAGGAUGAAUCUGACUAUGCCCAACAAUAUGUUUGUACACCUGCUUGGAAGAGAAGUGAGUAGAGCCCCAGCAGUAGGACCAAACAUCAUUGUCCUGACUAAGUUGCAAGCUAUGCAGAUCACUAGAAAGGUCUUGAAAUUGCUGAAAAGCCUCUACCGACAGAGGUAGGUGGAAAAGGUCCUCAAGAGAGGUGGUCAAGACAGCAGUGCUUAGGGUGAUCUGUUGAGAUUUAGCAUAAGAAAAGAGUUCAGGGUAUCUUUGAUCGAACUGAAUCCCAUUCCAAUUAUCAAGCCACAGGAGGCAGGUAGAGCCAUUCUGAAUAUGAAUCGAAGCCAUCUCUUUGUAGGAAUUCAGUAGUUUUAAAAUGUCUCUCCACCAAAAGGAGCCUCUGAAAUGUCUUUGGCGAGAAGACAAGUUAUUCCUGGAGUAAUAGUGUUCCCAGACCAACUGAACCCAAGGAAUUGCCAGCUUAUUGAAGAAUUUAUGCAAAAACUUCAUGAGUAAACUUUCAUUGUGAAUUUGGAGAUCAAGCACUCCAAGACCCCCUUCAAUUUUUGGUUUACACACUAAGGGCCAGGCAGCUUUUGAAGGCUUCUUACUAUUUAAGUUUGACCCUCUCCAAAGGCAGUGUUUCCUAAAUUUAUCAAUCUGCUUAAGAACCGUCUUGGGAAUCAGAAAGGUACACAUAGCAAAAGUUGGUAGGGCAGUAAGAACAACAUUUGUUAACUGCAGUCUGCCAGCUUCAGAGAGCAGAGAAGAAAAAUUUACUAGUCUCCUUUCACAUUUGGAAACAAGGGGCCAGAAAUGAGCAACCGAAGGCUUGGCAAUACUAAGCGGCAGACCCAGAUAGGUGAAAGGUAAAGAUUGUUUACUACAACCAAAGACCACUGUCAGGGUAUCCAACCGGUUGUUGGGUAUUCUUAACAUCACUACCAAAAGUAGACAGUUUUCUAAUUCUAGUAACGGUGCCAAAAAUGCCAAACCUAUCCCUCAUACCACUUAAGCCAAGUUGUCAUCCCCAGCAUGACAUGAGAGACGCGGUAUUGAAAUAUACAAUUGCUCAUCUAAAUAAAUAAUGAAUGAGAUCUGCAAGCGCACAGAUUAAUACUGAUGUAGCAUUUUAACCAGAAAGUGUUCCAGGUAUCGUUAUUUAUAUUUUUACCACUGGGAAGGGAUUAGCAGCCAUCAAUAUUGAUUAUAGAAUAGAAUAUGAGAUUGAGUAUCUAUCAUUGCAUGUAUAAUUGAGAACAUUUAUCUAACUCUUUCAUACAGGGAUAAGUGUCACAUAAAAGAUAUAUGAAGUAAUGAAUAGUGACAAAGAUAAUUAAUCUGAUCAGCAUAACUAGCCACAUAUAAAUAUGAUAAGCACCUCAAUUAGAUAUUCUAGCAAGUCAUUAGCAUGGUAUUAGAACGAACUACAAGAAUAUUCCCUAAGUUAUUCUUAACUAUAUAGUCUAGCAUUAUCAUAGUUAGUGCAAUUAUACUUAGCAAUCAUUGCGAGAAAAGACUACGCCCAUGCAUAGUGAUAUUAGCAAGGAAUAUGAGAAACAUAGCAAUCACUCCCCUGUAAUAAUGUUGCUCUGCCAGCCCAAUACACGAGAGGGGGACUAUAUAAGAAUCAAUGAAGCUGUCACUAUCACGAACUACCCCACUGUGGGGGUAUAAACCCCUAUACCCUUACGGCUAGACUUGGGCCAGGAGGCUUGGCCCAUUACGAGGCAAGUUCGAGGCUUGAUCCGACAGCUCGGAGUUUCGCGCAAGGAAACAAGACGUGGAGAUCAAGCAGGAUUCUAGUCGGUUAGAAUAGGAAUUGAUAUCGAACUAUCUAUGGCAAUUGUAACCAACUAGGAUUAGUUUCCAGAUCUGUAACCCUGCCCUCCAGACUAUAUAAGGAGGGGCAAGGGACCCCCCUAAGACACAUUAUUCUCAAUCCAAUACAAUCAGACGCAGGACGUAGGUAUUAUGCCCACACGACGGCCGAACCUGGAUAAAAAGCUUGUCCGUGUCUUGCGUCACCAUUGAGUUCGUAGUUUGCGCACCGUCUACCGAUAAACUACUACCGUGGGUAUACCCCAAGGUAGACUGCCGACUAGCUUUCGUCGACAGUGGCGUGCCAGGUAGGGGGUGUGCAUACAGCUUUUCCAGCGAACAAGAUGGUCAUCGUUCCAGCUUCCGCGGCCGUGCCUGAAGGCCUCACGUUCACCGUCGGUCAGAUUACGUGGACAACCCGCGGCGGUGGCCCCACGGUCACGGUUUCGGAAGAAACCCGGAUCCGAUCUGGGAUGACGGCGGCAUCGGCUCCGACCACGUGGAUACCGGCACCGAGCACCCGACCACCACUUCCGCGCUACAGGGAAAAGAAGAUCGAUGGCUCGGACCUUUUCCGAGCUCUUGAUCACGCCGAUCUCAAGCUUCUCGAAGCUUCCCGACUAAUAGAUGGGAUCUCGCGCCAGCCUGACCAAGCCGCGCCAAUGGAUUUUCACAACUCCCACCGGCCAACUCGUGUCGUCACACACGAACAGCUGGGAACGUCUCUGACGAUAACCUCCACCCCCUCAGGACGGUCCGUCAAACUCGAGGCUGGUCCAGAUCAAGGCUCUCCUUACGGGCUGAAAAAUUCAGCCGUUCACUACUCACGGCACAUCCAAUCCCUCUUCAACGGCGCUGGUUGGUUGCCAAAGCGGAGCAAUCGACCAGCUCGUCACUACGUCAACAUGGUGACGAUCCGAGAGCUACGGGACGGCCAGGCUUCCAGCACAAACUCUAGCACCGGCUCCGUUCCUACUGAAGUCAUAAACUCCGAGGACGAAGACUACGACCUGGAUUUACCACCAUAUCCUCCGGGUUUCCCUCGCUUCCCGGUCUUUCCACCUCGGCGUGGAGACCUCGUCCUCAAUGUUUGCGGCGAUGAGCCGGUCGUUGAUGGAGAGACAGACGAGCAGAAGCAGCUCCGUGAGCAGCGCAACGCCGACCGCGCCCGACGAUGUGCGGACGAGGAACGACAACUCCUGCCGCAUAACCUCACCGACGCCUUUGACAUGGUUGGGGAUCAGCAAGUCUACAAAACGCCAAGUGCCAACGUGGCUGUCGCCAUGGCCAACUUAGAUCGACUCCCUGACACUCCCGAGUGCCAGGGUGUCCGGUCCAGCGUGCGCGCGCACCUGAUCGCCGCGAUGGGACAGACAGCCACUCUGCUCAAAAGAGUCCAAGCUAUCUCCUAUGCAGAGGUCUCCUCCGACCAGACCCAUCGCAGCCGGACCUCACCACAACCCAGCGACCACCACCGCAGCCGUUCCCCCAACGAUCAUCGAAAAGAUUCACGGCGUGACAAUGGCGGUCGGGACGCUGGCGGCUACCGCGAGCAGAAUAGCAGGCGUGGUCAGGAAGUAAACCAGCACAGGGAUCUCCAAUACAAUAUCCCUCCCAAAGACGCCCGGGACCGCAUCAACAGGCGCGCCACGGAGAGAGCAGUUCACGAAAACCUGCGUCGCAUUGAGUACGAUGCAACGCACGGUCCCCCGGGCCUGAGACAGUUCUCCUCACACCUCCGCCAGGUCGUGUGGCCCCGCAAUUUCAAGCUCGAGAAACUCAAAAAAUACGACGACAAGGAAAACCCAGAAAACUAGAUCACUCUUUAUGAGAUCGCCGUCCAAUCAGCAGCAGGAGAUGAGCACGUCAUGGCCAACUACUUGCCAGUAGUCCUCGACCAGGCUGGUCACCAGUGGCUCCUAGGCCUGCCUGAGGACUCUUUCGAUUCUUGGGAAGAACUAUGCCAAGCUUUCAUCGACAAUUUCAUCGCCACCUGCAAAUAGCUUGGGAACAAGUACGACCUCGAAAGGAUAAGGGACAGGAAAAACGAGCCUCUGCGUGAUUACAUCCGACGAUUCUCGGAUAUGCACCUUAAGAUCCCGAAAAUUUCCCACGACGAGGCCAUAUCUGCUUUCAUCAAGGGGCUGCGCUUCCAUGAAGCAUUGAGGAACAAGCUGCUGCGCAAAAGACCAACAACGAUGGCCGAGCUUCUUGCCAUGGCUAAAAACUACGCCGACGCCGACGACGCAGAAAAACUCAUCCGGAACGAUGCGAGAGGUCCCGACCAGCCCCCUCGACGAGAUGACAGUCGAGGUCGUUUCGACAACAGGAACCAUCGUCGCCCCGACAAUCGGGACCACAGAGAAGGCUGGGACAGGCGGCGUGACAAACGCGAUGACUUCAGAAGCAAGCGCCCUCGUGACCACGACCACGAGGUGAAUAUGGUCAAGCGUCCCAAUGGGCGGCGAGACUACCAGGAAGACUACAACAAGACGUUGAAGGGACCAUGCCAGCUGCACCCAAAGUCCAACCACACGAUGGAGGAAUGUCGCGUCCUAAAAAGCAUCUACACACGGUGGGCUGCUCAAGACAACACAGCCAAGAAAAAUGGGAAACAGGACGGGCACGAUCAUGAAGACGAGGACGAGGACCAGGAUAGGGACCCACGACACCAGUAUGUCAGUCCCACCGAUGUGGUCCACUCCAUCUUUGGGGGCAAGGUCUCCACCGAGUCUAAGCGAGAAAGAAAACUCUUAAAAAGAGCCUGCCUCAAUAUAGACACCACGGAUGGCCUAAUCGCUGACCCGAAAUUCCCUCCCUGGUCGCACAGGGAAAUCUCCUUCAGCAGGAAGGACCAGUGGGCCACCAUCCCGAAACCAGGACGUUUCCCUCUAAUACUGGAUCCUUGCAUCAACAGCAUCAGAUUCGAGCGCGUGCUCGUCGACGGAGGAAGCUCCAUUGAUAUCCUUUUUCGCAACAGCUUGCCUGCUCUCAAGAUAACCUCAGCACAGCUAAAGCCCUAUGACGCUCAAUUCUGGGGAGUCUUGCCAGGUCAAAGUUUAGUGCCCCUCGGACAAAUAACACUGCCUGUCCAAUUCAGCACAUCCGACCACUUUCGAACAGAGUUCGUCAACUUUGUGGUCGCCGACUUCGAAGGAACCUACCACGCCAUACUGGGCCGACCAUCGCUGACAAAGUUCUCGGCAGUUCCACAUUACUCAUAUCUGGUCCUCAAAAUGCCUACAGAGAAGGGCGUCCUAACUGUCAGAGGCAAUGUCUACACUGCAUAUACUUGCGAGGAGGAGAGCUUCAAGAUCACUGAAGCAAUUGAUCUUUCAAUUCGCAUGGCAGAAACAGCAACCCAAGCCGCACAGCUCCCUCCCGACCAGCUCCGACUACCCGAGCAGGAGACCGCCAGGUAGAAUUCAAAAUCCAAGGAGUACAAGGAAGUACAGCUGGUCGAAGGCAGCCCCGAGAAGACGGCCCUCAUCGGGGCCAACCUGGACCCUAAAUAGGAAGACGCGCUCGUCAGGUGUCUAAGGGACAACGUGAGCGUUUUCGCAUGGAAACCUGCAGACAUGCCCGGCGUCCCACGAAACCUGAUCGAGCACUCCUUAAAUGUCUCGAAGACCGCAAGACCCAUCAAGCAAAAGCUGCGACGGUUCGCUCGUGACAAAAAGGAGGCUAUUAGGACAGAAAUAACACGGCUUCUAGCAGCCGGAUUCAUAAAAGAAGUGUAUCAUCCCGAUUGGCUCGCCAAUCCGGUUCUUGUACACAAAAAGAAUAAUGAAUGGAGAAUGUGCGUUGAUUACACUGAUCUCAAUAAACACUGUCCUAAAGAUCCUUUUGGUCUCCCUCGCAUCGACGAGGUGGUCGACUCAACAGCCGGAUGCGAACUCCUCUCUUUUCUAGACUGCUACUCUGGUUACCACCAGAUCUCGCUAAAGGAAGAUGAUCAGAUCAAAACGUCUUUCAUUACUACUUUCGGCGCAUACUGCUACACGACCAUGUCCUUUGGACUCAAAAACGCCGGAGCCACCUAUCAACGGGCCAUCCAGCAAUGCCUCCACGACGAGAUUCGUGAUGACCUCGUCGAGGCUUAUGUAGACGACGUCGUUGUCAAAACAAGGGACGCAAGCACCCUAAUAGACAACUUAGACCGAACCUUUAAGGCACUAAACAAGUACAAAUGGAAGCUUAACCCCAAAAAGUGUAUCUUUGGGGGUACCUUCUGGUCUACUGCUCGGCAACGUCGUCAGCCGCGAUGGCAUACGACCAAAUCCUUCAAAAGUAAAAGCAGUGCUCGACAUGCGACCACCUAAGAACGUCAAGGAUAUUCAAAAGCUCACCGGAUGUAUGACCGCCCUCAGCCGCUUCAUCUCAAGACUAGGAGAAAAAGUCCUUCCCUUCUUCAAACUCUUGAAGGCGUCGGAAAAAUUCUCCUGGACAGAGGAAGCUGACGCUGCGUUCACCCAGCUCAAGACUUUCCUCACCUCACCGCCUGUUCUCACAGCGCCUCAGCCCAAUGAAGACCUACUCCUUUACAUUGCAGCAACUGACAGGGUCAUCUCCACGACAAUAGUGGUCGAGCGAGACGAGCCAGGCCACGUCUACAAGGUCCAGAGACCCGUUUAUUUCAUAAGCGAAGUCUUAAAUGAGUCCAAGGCCAGAUACCCACAAAUACAGAAGCUCAUAUACGCCAUUCUAAUAACGUCGAGGAAGCUAAAGCACUACUUCGACGGCCAUCGGGUCUUGGUAACCACCAGUUUCCCUCUUGGGGAUAUUCUGCGCAAUAAAGACGCCAACGACAGAAUUGUAAAAUGGGCAAUGGAGUUAUGCCCAUUCUCCCUAGAUUUCCAGAGCCACACCACAGUCAAGUCUCAGGCCCUGGUCGAUUUCAUUGCAGAGUGGACGGAUCUUAACGAGCCUCCCGUUUCCGACGUCUCCGACCACUGGUCAAUGUUCUUCGACGGGUCCUUGAACAUCAACGGCGCCGGCGCUGGGAUACUUUUCGUGUCGCCUAACAAGGACAAACUGCGUUACGUCCUUAGGAUCCUUUUUUCGGCGUCAAACAACGUCGCUGAGUACGAAGCAUGCUUACAUGGCAUACGACUAGCCGUUGAGUUGGGAGUCAAACGCCUCUACGUCCAUGGCGACUCCGCUUUAGUUAUCAACUAGCUCAACAAGGAAUGGGACGCAACCCACGAGAAGAUGGAUCUCUACUGCAAAGAAAUCCGCAAAUGGGAAUCCAUCUUCUAUGGCAUAGAGUACAUCCACGUGGUCCGGGAUAAGAACCAGGCAGCGGAUGCGCUGUCAAAGUUAGGGUCAUCUCGGGCCCAGAUCCCGCGAGGUGUUUUUGUCCAGGACAUCCAUGAGCCAAGUGUGGGCACAGACCCGGUCGAAAAGCUACCUAUUGAGGCAAUGCUCAUAGACGACGCUACUCCGACAACCAGCAUCCGUGAUUGGCGCACCCCGUUCAUCAGGUAUAUAUCGAAUGGGUCAGGCUUUUAGGAUAAAACGGAGAACGAGCGCCUCAUUCGACGAUCAAAGAAUUACAUACUGGUGGACGGCAAACUUAUGCGAAAAAUGCAAGUUCUGAAGUGCUGCUCAAAUGCAUAUCCCAAGAUGAUGGCAUCAAGCUCCUAGACGACAUACACGCCGGAUCUUGCGGCAACCACGCAGCCUCCAAAACACUGGUCGGGAAGGCUUUCCGAGCAGGUUUUUACUGGCCAACCGCGGUCACCGACGUAGAAAAACUGGUCCGACAUUGCGAAGGAUGCCAGUUCUUCGCCUAAAGGACCCACAUACCUGCUCAUGAGAUUCAAACUAUUCUGUCAUCCUGGCCUUUCGCCUGCUGGGGCCUCGACAUGAUCGGGCCAUUUAAACCAGCUCUCGACAACUUCAAGUUCGUCUUCGUGUUAAUCGACAAAUUCUCGAAAUGGAUCGAAUACAUGCCACUGGUCAAAGCAACCUCUGAGAAGGCUGUGGAGUUCCUCAAUCAAAUCAUAUACAAAUUCGAGAUCCCCAAUAGUAUAAUCACCGACCUGGGCACUCAGUUCACUGGCACUACAUUCUGGGACUUCUGCGAUGACAGACGCAUAGUCAUAAAAUACGUGUCAGUAGCUCACCCACGAGCAAACGGUCAAGUCGAACGCGCGAAUGGAAUGAUCAUUGAUGCCCUAAAGAAAAGGUUGUACACCGAGAACGACAGAGCGCCUGGUCGAUGGAUGAAAGAAUUGUCGGCCGUGGUCUGGGGUCUCCAAACACAGGCCAGUCGCAAUACAGGUGUAUCACCCUACUUCAUGGUUUAUGGCUCCGAGGCAGUACUUCCGUCUGAUAUAACCUUCAGAUCUCCAAGAGUUGAAAACUUCGACCAAUCAACGGCUGACAACGCCAGGGAGCUCGAAAUCAACUGCAUGGAGGAAAAGCGUCUAAUUUCAUGUCUUCGAACAGCAAAGUAUCUCGAAGCCAUCAGGCGGUAUCACAAUAGGAACGUCAAAGACCGUUCUUUUGUGGUCGGUGACCUGGUACUCAAGUGGAAAACAAGCCAGGAAGGAACGCACAAGUUAUCCACGCCUUGGGAAGGACCCUUUGUGGUCGCCGAAGUCACACGCCCUACAUCCUACAGACUGGCGUAUCCAGAUGGAACACGCGUGCCUAAUUCUUGGCACAUAGACAAACUGCGCCGUUUUUAUCCAUAAGUUCCAGUACCUUUUGCUUGUAAGUUUCUUAUAAUUAGCAAUAAUAAAAGUUUUUCUUUUUCUCUAUGUAUUGUUUACACGCAGAGCUUCCGACAAGUACAACAGUCUUCCUCUGCGCCAAAGAUUCUUAACGACUAUCAAUCAAACACAGUGAUACAUCACUCAGAUAACAUUACAAGCGCUCAAAAUCAUGGUCAUGACAAAAUCAAACUUUAUUACAAACUUUACAUAUAGAGUUUACAAUAAGCACCCCGACGGGCGGUUACUAGUCUACUCCUACAGACUAUCCCACAGGCCUACUGCUCGGGCUGAUCACCCGCCUGGCCUUGCUGCCCGGACGAAGGGGUCGGGGCCACCGGCGCCUGGCGGGUCGGGGCCACCGGCGUCGACCGCCCAUCUCCGGCAAUAGACGCCCCCGAUAACUCCCUGGCCGAUCUGUCUGACCCCGGCUGGUCGGGGGGAGUGGCCGUCCCGCAUAGAUUGAUGUCGCCGAUCACCGUCGACGACAAGUCUAGCAGGCCAGCUCGAAGGUCGUCCGCCUCCUGCGGGCCAACUUCCUUGGGGUACCCCCUCUCCAGCCUGGACCGGUCGACCAGGGAUAGUGGGCGCGCACCAUGCUGAGGACAUGCGCGCCGGCGAACUCCCCGGCGUCCUUAACGAACUGCUGGAGCCAAUCCCAUGCCCGUUGCGCCUUCUCGACCGGCGUCAGCCUCGGCGCGCGGGGCUGGUCUUCAGGAAGCUCGGGGCUGAUCAAGUCUAGAACCGGGGCUACUCCUUUCCAAAGCCUAAUGCAGUUAGUUUUCCAGGAGUCCCGAUCCUUGACCAGCUCAUCUAAAUGCUUUUUGGUAUUAACCUUGAGCACUACAAACCAAGCAGGAGGUCAGUUCAAGAACAAGGAAAGGAACGUUGAGCAACCAAAUAAAAAAAAGGGGGCGCGGCACGGCUAUUACCAGACAGCUCCUGAUUCCUGUGGCUUAGCUCCUCGCCUGCUCGCCGCCCGGCCUCUAGUGCCCCGGCAAGCUCUUGGCCGAGCUGCUCCUUAUCUUGCCGGAGGCGCGUGACCUCCUCCUCCAAGUCUACAGGAACAACCCCCUGGUCACCAAAAACUAACCACGCGGCUACAUACAGCUGCUCGGAGUAUGAGACUGACCUGACCGUUGCCGAUACUGGUCGGCUAAACGCCGAGUGAGCUCGAGACGACGCUCUUCCUGAGCACUCAUCUCGGCCACUUUCUCCCCCACCUCCGACCGAAGCCGGUCCACCUCCGCGGACAGGGCCUUGUUCUCGGCCACAAUGCCCUCUAUUUGGUCGAAGCACCUCUUUCGGUACUUCGCCGUUUUCAUCGCGCCCUGCAAGAAGAACACAUGUCGACCCAGGAACACAGCACAUAAGUGUCGAGCAGCACAAAGGACCACUUACCUUAACUUCGUCCACGAGACGCUUAGCCGCGCGCUCCACCCUGGCGGCCUCUUCCGUCUCCGCUAGCUCCUCGUGUCCAAUGAAGUGGUCCCCGCGUUGGCGCCACACGUAGACGUGCUGGCGGCCAUCAUGGGGACGACCUUCAAUUUCCUCCACGUCGUCGUCAGAAGCCGCCUGGGUCUCCUCGUUCGCCGCACUGCCACCGGCUGUGGUCGCAGGCAUCACCGGCCCCUGGUCCAGGCCAAGGGAGCCUGCAGGUGAUGAGGCCCCUGCCCGGGGCGGUGUGGGGACUCCCCUCUCUUCGACCGAGGGAGGAGUCGGGACCCUGUCUUCCUCCUCCACGAUGUUACUCGGGGGAGGGGUCCUCGUAGCCUCUUCAUCCCUCGUCGGGGCGCUUGCCGUGGUCUUUGCUGAGGCCGGAUGCUCUUCGGUGCUCUCGGCCACAAUUGUCGCCGCGGGCUGCUCCGUGGUCUGCGGCGCAGCGCCCACAGCGGCAGCAACGGGCUUGGCCACCCUCUGGCCAGCAACGCAGUCAAGAUCGACGUCCGACGCCGCACUAGCAAUACGACGACAUUUCAACAAUGUCAAAACGCAGCAACAAAACACAAAACAUCACAGCGCGAAAGUAAGAAUGCAAACUUACAGGUCAGGGCGUCGGUGUGUGGCGGUGAACCUCCUCCUGGUCCUACCGGUCGGUGCCUGCGCCUCCGUCUCUACGACGCGCGUCGGCUCGACGUGCGGUGCAGGUGGGUCACUGGUCACCCGACCAGUCGUGGCCGGCGCAACGUUCAGACGACUGCGAGGCCUCCGGACCAACGACGGCGCAGCAUCCUCCUCCUCCUCGUCGUCAUCGGUGAUUCGGACGAGCCGACGGCGCUUUGGCGCCUGGCUGCUCUCUGCCGGCAGCGUCGCCGCAGGGGAGGGAUCCGCUGCCAUUGGCCUUUUCCCCGCCACUCUGUCCUCGGUGGUUGGGGCGGGGUGGCUCUGUUCCUCUUCACUGCUGGUGUACCGAGUACACCGAGCAGCGUCGUCUUCUGGCGGGUCUUAACCCGUGGGGUUCUCCAUGCCAGGUGCCAGUGAUACAUACACUGUGGACCGGUCAACGUCUCCGAUCUGCAACAUUAACAGAGAAAAGUCAACAACCAUGAAGAACAAGGACUAAGGAGGUAACAUCAGUCAGUAGCAUUACCUUAGGAGCUAGUCGCCCCAGUUUGAAGGCUUGUACCCGAUCACUACCACGGACGAAACUGCCGUCUGCAAAGUUGAAUAGCUCGUUCAACAGUUGUUGCACUUCCGCUUUCUCCAAGACCUCAGGCCUCAUCCUGGUCGGGUCUUGGCUCCCAGCGUACUCGUACGCUGAGUGCACCCUCUUCUGGUAGGGCAUCACCCGACGACAGACGAAGUUGCCGACCACCCCUGGCCCGUCCAAACGCGACCAGUCGAUCAGCUUCAUCAGGUCCGCUACUUGACCGGCGAACUCUGGGCGGUCGGUCCAACUGACCCUCUUCUCGGGAAUGUACCCCACGUCGCAGAACGUGGAGCUGCCCGGCUCUUCCCUAAUGUAGAACCACUUCUUGUACUAUUCGGUGAGAGAAGUGUUCCAUGGGCAGUUUAGAUACCGGUUCUUCAUCCCGUCACGAAGAUUGAGGUAUAUUCCACCUGCAAUCUUGGAGCCUCCAACCACUCCCUUCUUCCUCAAAUAGAAAAGAUAACGGAAAAGAUCGAAGUGCAGCUCUAUUCCAACAUAGGCCUCGCACAGAUGGAUAAAAGUGGAAAUAAGGAGAAUUGAGUUCGGGUGCAGAUUGCAGAUCCCGAUCUCAUAGUACAGAAGAAGCCCCUGGAGAAAAGGAUGGACAGGAACCCCAAAACCCCUCUUGAUAAAAUCUUCGAAAACUACAAUCUCACCGGCACGGGGGUCGGGGUAGCUCUCCCCCUCUGGCGCCCUCCAGCCGCCGAGCUCUUGGUUGUGCAGUAGCCCCAUGUCGGCGAGGUCGUUGAGGGACUUCACGCUGCUCCGGGACUUUUUCCAUUCCUUAGCCAUCAGCUCGGUCCUCUUCUUGGAGUCGCUCUUCGCCAUUGACGUUGCGGGAGUGACUGCGAGUCGGGAGGAUUGAUGGUGGUUGUAGAAGGCAAGAACGGAAAGCUUGAAAGCGAUGGCAAGGUGACCAAUACGGGGGUACUGUCAGGCUUUUAUAAACCACAACUCCACCCCUCCCACUUCCCGCAUUCUUGGGAAGUGGGCGGGCCAAAAGGCGGACGCGGCGCUUCGGUUUUGAAUAAUUACCGGCAGUUAAUACGGCGGCCUUUUUGCAUAAUGGAUGGUUUCCUUUUGUCGAACCGCGCAAAGAGCGGCUGCACAGUUACCAGGCGCACCUUUUCAUGCAACCAUCUGACAGUGCGUCAGGAGGUCUCGUCACGUCACUCAUUUUUGUGGUAAGAUGCUUUUUUUUCAAAAUAACAGACGAAAAUUGGUGGAGGAUCAAUGUUACUAGGGACUGCGCCGACCACCGAGCACUGUAUGCUCGGGGACUGGUCGCCCAGUCCGUCAGCUCGGAUAUCUAGGGACUGCACCGACCACCGAGCACUGUAUGCUCGGGGACUGGUCGCCCAGUCUGCCAACUCGGGGAUCUGGGGGCCGCACCGACCAUCGAGCACAGUACGCUCGGGGACUGGUCGACCAGCCCGCCAGAUUGGAAGAAUUAGGGACUAUGCCAAUCAACAAGGCAUUAUCUGCUCGGGACUGAUUGAUAAGUCUAUCCGAUUGCAAACGAGCAUGAGAUGCUCGGGGACUGGAUAAUUUUAAUUUUUUAGACCUUGCUACAAGGCUUAUACUUCACCUUCCAGCAAGCUCGGGGACUACAUCGGUACGAUGCAUCUGGCGAUGCAUCUUGGUUUUAGACUUAUUCUGAGUACUUUUCUUCUGACCCUGGCACCACGUGUCUGCGCCACCUACUACCAGGCUCGGGGACUAAGUGGGCACACUUCACCUUGCGGUGAACAUGCUUGCUUUUUGAAAAUCUGCACUUUUCUGAAAAGUAAAGUGGGCACACUUCACCUGAAAAGAAAUCUUGUUUGAUUAAGAGCACCGUGCAUUCUUCGAACAACCUGCUUCUUCGAUGUCAGUGUUGAUCAACUGUCUUUUGAGUCGGUCAAAAUACCGUCACAACUGUUUCGGCGACUCUCCUGCCUAUUGAAGAUGUCAAAGUUUCACUGGUCGAAGAAGCUCAAGACGGCGUGUUACUUCACAAUACAUGGUGCUCGGGGACUAGCUGUGGGGGUAUAAACCCCUAUACCCUUACGGCUAGACUUGGGCUAGGAGGCUUGGCCCAUUACGAGGCAAGUUCGAGGCUUGAUCCGACAGCUCAUAGUUUCGCGCAAGGAAACAAGACGUGGAGAUCAAGCAGGAUUCUAGUCGGUUAGAAUAGGAAUUGAUAUCGAACUAUCUAUGGCAAUUGUAACCGACUAGGAUUAGUUUCCAGAUCUGUAACCCUGCAAGGUAGACUGCCGACAAGCUUUCGUCGACACCCACGAUCUGGCAUAUUGGGUACAAUCGCAGAUAAAUACGGUAUAAGCACCACGCUUACACAAUAUCUAUCAUUUACCCAUGGAUCCGAGGGAUAAACGCUAUACGGUCCUAAACAUGUAUAUAGAUCAAAUCUAACUAAGCCAAGUAUAUAACUAUGAUAAACUAAGAACAAUAUAAUUCGUAAUAUAAACAAGUAGAGCAAAGUCAUAAGCAAUAUAUUGAAGUAGAACAAAGUCAUAUUCAUAAUAUUGAAGAACAAAGAUGAACAAUUAGAAGAACAAUUAGAGAAUUACCAAGAAUCCUCUUGACAGAUCUAGAAACCAAUCGAAGAUUGACUCCUUCUAGUUCUAAUCCUAUGUAGCUAUGUUAAUCUAGAUGUCUAAUUGAUGUGGUGGCUCUAGGCUUGAUCAGAGGGUUCUUCUCCCUUGAGGAUUAAUGAAUUAGGGUUGAGAGGCUCUCUCCUCCAGGGGCCAGGGGGUCUGGUUUUAUAGUCCCUCCAAGUGAAUAUGGGCCGUUGGAUCAAACCGACAUUGAUUGAAAGGUUAUCCUUGAUCCUUUAGGUCGGUGGAGAUUGAUCCCGAAAGAGAGUCCUGUUUGGACUCAAGGAGGGGGCGGGCGCCCUGGUCACCUGGGCGGGCGCCCAGGGCCAGGCUCCGUUCGGCCUCCGCUUCCUUCCCAUGGCUUUUGGAGUCUUCUAGAUGUAAGAUAAUUGCACGACACGUUAAUAUCUCUAUGUAAUCCCGACGUGUGGGCCUUUCUUCCGUAUUUCCUGAUAACCCCCUGCAGAAAUAGACAAACACCAAAACUCGUGGAAUUCUGUCAGAUAAAACCCUAAGUCUAGAUGUUGGUUGCAUUUGGAUCCUUUUCUUUGUUUAUUUGAUAAUUAAAUUUGAUACUUAAGGACCGUCAACAAACUCCCCCAAGCUUACCUCUUGCUCGUCCCUGAGCAAGGAUAAUCUCAGCGAUGGAUCAUAAGUUGUUGCAAUAUCUUUAAAAAUUGAUGGUACACAUGCUUUUAAAUGAGGUCUCAUCUCUGAGUUAGAGUAAACUGUCAAGACUUAAAACUUACUCACUUUACCUUUCACCAUGGGACUUGUAACUGUCACUUCUGUCUUGAGUAGUUAAAAGAUAGAACAGUCUAGUCAAGUGCCAUGUCUCUUAUUCUUGAUCAGCUAUAGCUCUGGAGUUUUUGCAGAUUUUCAAAUAAAACUCAGAGAUUCCUUGUAUGACUCUCUCAGAUCUCUCUUUUGUGGUAUUUCUGGAUCCUUACCAAGGCAGUGAUGGUAUAUGCCUUCUCUCAAAAUAUGUAGUAUUUGUGGUAUACGGCAUAGUGAUAUUGCCUUCUCUCUUACCCUACUCUAAUAAGGCUUUAAUAUCUGGAGCUCAUAGGUGGGAGAUAAAGUAUACAUACUUACAAGACAUUUAUUGCAUAGUCAAACCAUGGAUCUAAAGAAACAAAUCAAUAAGUCAAAUCAAGAUGUGCAUGUGUGGCGAAUGAAUGGCGUAUGGUGAUGAUGGUGAUAAUUAUGGUGAAAGUCUAAUUCUACUGUUGCUCUUUUGAGGGGAUAUAUACCUUUCUUGCUUUUUGAAACUUUGUGAUGAGAAUGAGAUGCUCUGUAUUUUUCUUUUCUCUUAGGUGGGUAUCUUGUACCCCUAAUUCUAUUGUCGGACACUUGUCCAUUUUUACCUCUCGUCUCACUUUUUCUUUUUCUUUCGAGGUUCCAAGCACUUGCCCCUUUUUAUUUCCUCGUUUUUUUAGAGCACUCUUCUCUUGAGAUAAUAUAGCAAGUGAUAAUAACAAGAUAACUUGAGCAUUUAUUUCACAAGGGAAAAACAGAAAUAUUUUUGGCUAUUCUCUCCCGGAUUAGGAGUAGAAUAUUUUUGGGUGGUUCUGGAGAUGGAAAUAAGUGGAUAUAUGUGGAUGGUACUUCUGGAGUAGAAGCAGCAUAUGUGAGUGAACGUGCAAGUGAAUCUUGAUUUUAACCACAUGACAAGCUCUUAAGGGUCUAUACAGCUUGACCACACUCAAUGCUCAUAAGCAGUAAAAAGUAAAUGUGUGGCUCAAAGUCUAGCAAGCAUGUAUAUAUGGCUGUGGUAGGAAUUUAAACUCUCAUCAUACAGGAACUCAUCAUGUGAUAUUUUAUAGAUUUUAAAAGAUAAACUUCUCUAGAUUUUUAGCAUCUCUAGGAAUAGAUAAAUAGCAGCUCAACCUUCCCAUGUGAUAUCCGUUAACAACUUAGACUUCAGAUCAAGUUUUCUUCCCACAAGUUCAGGUUUAGAGCAAGCUUUAAAUUAUAACAGUUGUGUCUAAACUUGAGAGGAAACUCAAAUUUGAAAAAUUAGGUAGAGCAACUAUUCAUCAUAUCCAUGCUAGAGUUUUAUUAUUAAGAUUCAGAUUAGCAUAGCCACUUUAUUUAUUUAUUAAACUUGCCCGUCCCGCUCGACCUCCAUUGCCGUAGAGACGACUCGAUCGGUUGCUGCUAUGUAAAGGAGCAGGUCCUCGUUAGGUUGAGGCACCGUGAGGACGGGUGGUGAGGUGAGGAAAGUUUUGAGCUGGGUAAACGCAGCGUCAGCUUCCUCUGUCCAGGAGAAUUUUUCCGACGCCUUUAGAAGUUUGAAGAAGGGGAGGCCCUUUUCUCCCAGUCUAGAAAUAAACCGGCUGAGAGCAGCCAUACAUCCGGUGAGCUUUUGAAUAUCCUUGACAUUCUUGGGUGGUCGCAUAUUGAGCACUGCCUUUACUUUUGAAGGACUCGGUCGUAUGUCGUCGCGGCUGACGACGUUGCCGAGUAGUAGUCCAGAGGGGACCCCAAAGAUACAUUUUUUGGGGUUAAGUUUCCACUUGUAUUUAUUUAGCGCCUUAACGGUUCGGUCUAGGUUGUCGAUUAGAGUGCUCGCAUCCCUUGUUUUGACGACAACGUCGUCUACAUAAGCCUCGACGAGGUCGUCACGAAUCUCGUCGUGGAGGCAUUGCUUAAUAGCCCGUUGAUAAGUCGCUCUAGCAUUUUUAAGUCCGAAGGACAUGGUCGUGUAGCAAUACGCACCGAAAGGAGUUGUCGGUGUUUUCCCCCCGGGGGGUCACACCAACGAGUAAAUUUGUAUGUGUGUUCCCUUUUCCAGAUGGUGAUGCAAGAAGACACUGAGAUUUAUCCUGGUUCGGGCAAGAGAAGGCCCUACGUCCAGCGGGGGGGAGAGAGUUUUUAUUAUCUUGCACCUAAGUGCUUGUACAGGGGUGAAUACAAGCGCGGUAUGAAGUGUGGAGCACUACUACGUAUGAGCGUGGUGUUCGCUUGCCGUUCUAUUCCUGAGUCCCUCCUUUUAUAGUCCCAAGGAAAGACCCAGGGUACAUGUAUAGGCGUCAGAAUAGGAGUCGAUAGCAGCAUGGAGCGCUGACCUACUCGAGGCUUCCGUACCGGCGUGGCCUCGAGUCGUCUCGUCUUGGUAGCCUGGCGAUGAUUACGCGUGCUCUGUUAUCCUGCUCUGCGCCCCGUCUUGGAUUGGUUACCGGAUGUACGCUUGUACGACCCGACGGCAAAUCCGGCGGAGUGGUUGGGAUGUAGUCAGUCGACGCCCAACUCGUCCCCUGGAAGGAUCCCUGUCUUGGUCGAGGUUCGGAUGCCGUACAUUGUGCUGAUAUCCGGAGCGCUGACUUCAGAUGUCUCGAGGGGGUCCCGACUAGACGUUCCAUCCUCGUUUCCCGCGUUCUAACAUAUCCAGGGUCGUCUGGUGGGAAGACUGCAAAAAGAACGAUGGGACAGAUGCUUGUUCCCUUAUCACGCCUUCCGUGACCCAUGUGUUAGGUGGGGAAGCGUCAGGUGCAUUAAAUGCCCUAGCUCUCGUGCGCGCGUCAGGCGGCGGACAGUGUCCUUGCUCUCGACGCCUCUUGAUUCGCUCGGGACCGCUUCCGUAUUCGACGGCAGUUGGCGCUCGAGCCCUGAUCGAUUCGCUCGACGCUACUUCCGUCUUCGAGGCCGCGGCCGUCGACGGUUGCGCGUAUGUAUGGACGGAGCGUCGAAUCGAAGAUCUAGUCUUAUGUACGGAUGGUCUCGUUAUAUGUAUUGGUGAGGGUACCCCUUGUUGAUACCCUCGACAGUAGCCCCCGAGUCUCCAUUUGAGCGCUGGCGCUCGAGUGGAGACUUUUGUUUUUACAGUCGAGGUUCCGUGGGGGCGCGCGAGCGACCCCGCAGGGGUAGCCCCCGAGCCCUCGAGGGAGUAUUUAACUCCUUCGAGGGUUACUUUGCUUAAUUUGCAGAGACACUGUCGACACCAGUGGUGGAAGGUUCUGAUCGGCUUUGCCUUGCGAGGAGGUUUCAACGUACUCUCGAUAGAGCGAGCGUCUUCCACUCCAGAUCGAGUUCCUAGCGGGCAGUCCAAGUGAGAACCUGUGCCCCUUUCGAGGGGGUCAGCUGUAGCCCGGAGGCGUUCUCGUAAAGCUGGGUCGACGUAGUCGGGGAUACCGGUCUCAUUCGAUAGAGUCCAGCGGCUCGAUGCCUCCCGUCGGGGGGAUUCCUCUCGACUGUCUCGACCCUGCCUUGGACAUCGCCAGCGAGUUUUCGAGGCAGGCCUCGAUCUUCGACCGCUCGCUGGAGAUCCCUGACUCUGGUGCUCGAGAUCGGCUGUCGAACCCUUUCGGCGGGCCAGCCAUCGACCUCUCGAGACUCUCGCGGGUACGCUUGGCUUACAAGGGAAGGAAGUGGCCACGACGGUUCACCUUUCUGCCCGUUGGGCGCGUCUUUUUAGGCGGGUGACGUUACUACACUGUAUCGGCGUGGAAUUCGGAACGCCCGGCCUGUGAAGGGGGAAAGACUGUUAGGUAGCGCAUUAAUGGGGGGACGUUACCUCAUUUCCCGGAUCUGUCCGUUGGCGGAUUGCGGCCUAUAAAUACGUCGUGGCGCCGUCGCCGUUCCUCUUCCUUCCGCCUUCUCACUUCCAUUCUCUCAUUGUCUUUGCCUUCUCGCUGCCUUAGCUCUCUCGCCGUCUUACGCGCACACGCCUCCUCGUGCAGUAGCGGAUCCACCGCCUCUCCGGUCAAGAUGCCUGUAAGACUCAUCGCCGCCGACGACUGGCGCCCGUCGUCGGUGACGGAGCGCCGGUUGUUAGAGCUUGAGAAAGAGGGAUUGCUGCGCCACCGUACCUCACUAUCGUCGCCGGAGUGGAUCGCGCCGCCGACGAGUCACAGGGAGCCCCAGCCGCCCGAGGGCUACGUGGUGUCGUUUGCCAAGUUCCACCGCCACGGCCUGGGUGCUCCCCCGAGUCGCUUCAUGCGGGCCCUCUGCUUCCACUACGGGGUGGAGCUCCAGCACUUCUCCCCGAACGCCAUCACCGUCGCGGCGGUCUUCGCCGCCGUGUGUGAAGGCUACUUGGGGAUGAUGCCGCACUCGGAGCUGUGGCUCCAUCUCUACAGGGGCGAGCUCUUCAACGCCCCCACUGGGGCCACCGGCGUGAGGAAACCUGUGCGGGCGGGUUGCCUCAAUCUCGUGCUUAAGACGGGGAAGUCGGAGAGGCCGCGCGAGUACAUCCCGCUGGGACUGUCGACUAACCACGCCGGCUGGGACUCCCAAUGGUUCUAUCUGAGGAAUGACGACGACCUGCUGCCCGCCUAUACCGGGCGUUUGAUCACGGAGCGACCGGAGAAUUGGGCGUACGGCGUUGUCCAAGUUCACCAAUCUCGGCUCGACCCCCUCCUCGACGUCAUGAAGAAGCUGCGUUCGGAGGGCUUGACUGCCGCCCUCGUUCUCUCGGCCGUUCAUCACCGGAGAGUUCUCCCUUUGAUGUCUCGGCCGUUGAGGAUGGAUGAGAUGGGCCCCGGCGUUCCAUCUCGGGACCUCGAGGCGUGCCGGAUGUCCAACGAGGCUCCGACGGAUGACGAAGUCGCGGCCCGAGUCAGGGCUGCCAUUGCCGGUGAUUUUCAGCCGGAGCAUGUUAACGGCUUCCCCAUGAGGCCAGAUGCCGGCUCGAUCGAUCUGGUAUGUUUUCUUCUUGCGCGCAACCUCGAUUCUGGGUUUCUUUUCUUUCCCUCUCCUUUUCUUUUCUAAGUCUGCCUUCAUUUUGACAGGGACGGAUCGACGUCCGGUCCUCGAGGCCCCCGGUAAAGGAGGACGGGGUCGAUCGUGACAAACGGCGCCAAUCCGCCGAAAAGCUAAAGUCCGCUAAGGACUCUGCCAAGAAGGGGGAGAAGAAGAAGAACCUCGACCGUCAAGCGUUAGAGGCGCGUCGGGCCAAAUCCAGGCAGAGGGGGGAGCCUGAGGAAGAAUCCCCCAACGAUGACGAUGAUGACGACGACGACAACGAUGAUUCCGAGGGGAUGGCGUCACGCCUCGACCGGAUCCUCGAGGGCCCGUCUCGAGGCGACGUCGACGCCCCCCGGACGGAGAUGUCAAGGGAGGGUCCGAGUGAAUCUCAUCGCCCCCGGGCCGAGACACCUCCUGCGCCCAAGACGGGUCGAGACGCACCGCCCUCCCCCGGCGCCCAGAGAGAGCGGUCAGGCUAGACCCCAGGCGAAGGGGCCAUUGACUCGCGGUCGCGCCGCGGCCUCCGAGAAAGGAGAGGCCGGCCGCAGGAGCGCCAGUCCCGGUGCCCGUCAGGCAGGAACCGACGCGCCUAGGCCGGCGCCUGCCCUCGAGGGACCUGGAGCCCUGAUGCGGGGUGGCUCGAGGCCCGCUAGUCGGGGCGGCGGGAGGCGAGCUGUUCUCCCUAUGGGGUAAGCCCUUUCGAUGUUGUGGCUUCUGUUUUCCUGUCCCUCUGCCGAUCUUUUCUCAUAAACCGAUCCUUUCUCACGCUAAAGCGGACCCUCAAGCAGGCCCAACCAUCCAUGGCAAAGAGGCUCAAAGCGGGUGCCGCCUCCAAGGAACCAGGUUCGUAGUUUAUUUCUGGGCGUUGCGAUGUUCUUGUGUCGGUUAUCAUAACGUCUGACCUUUUUAUCCUUUGUUUUGUAGGCUCCUCCAGCUCCCAACCUCCAGCCGGCGUCGAGAAGGCUCCGUCUCGUCCCGCGCCUAUUCCGUCUUCGCCGACUCGUGAUGAGGCGCCCGAGACGCAAGCGUCAGAGGGAGCCCCCGAGCCCCCUUGAUUGGGGGUCGAGGGGGAACCCAUCACCAUCAGCGAUACGUCCGAUGGUAACGAAGCGUCUGGAGGCGCUCGCCCUAUGGAAGAGGAAGCGUCGACCCCUCGUGUCGCGGGAUCAACUCCCUGGCCCGCCGGCCUCCGCACCCUUGAGGAGCAGAAAAAGAAGAAGGAGGAGGAUGAACAGCGGGAGCGCGAGGCAGCGCGGCAGCCGCAGGAGCACGAGGCGCAGCAAUAGCAGCAACAGCAACAGCAGCAGCAACAACAGCAGCAGCAGCAGCAACAGCAGCAGCAGCAGCAACAACAACAGCAACAGCAGCAGCAGGGGGGCCAAGAGGAGGGACUGCUCGAGCCUCCGCCCCAUUGUCCGGCCCAGGCAGCACCACCGGAGCCGCAAGAGCUUGGUGAGCAGGAGGAGGAUCUGCCGGCGUACGGCCCCCCAACCCCGGCGUGGCUCCUCCCGGGGGCUCCUGCCGCGAUCCGGGCAGAGCCGGGGCGAGCGGAUGGAGUGGUGGCGCUUGCCUGCCUGAAGCGCACCCCCCGACCCCGAGUCCGAGAUCAAAAGGACAAUUUACGGCAUGGACGGGAUCGCCCCAGGGUUCCUCCGGGAACGUCGGGCGUGGGAGGACCGCUUUCCUUCCGAAGAGGACGAAAUUGGGACAUCUGGGACCAAGGACGGAACCUUGAAGACGGUGGACGACGACGGGCGGUUCCCAUGCCUCGUCGACCUGUUCCUGCGCCAUGGGGGCUCUCUCGAGACCGUCGAGGACCUCAUCCGCGGCGUUAAGGCGCGGGCCGACCGGGAGAUGGAGCACUGGUGCCCCGAUCGCAUCCGUAUCCGGGCCUCCCACGACCCGUCUGAGCCCGACAUCUUCCUCGACGAUCGGAAGGAGGCGGAGAAGUGGGAACACGUCGAGGAGCUCCGCCUUUGGAUGAAGCAUGUGGUGGGGCUCCUCUCUGACGUUGUCAACAACGGGCUCGACCCGGCUUAUUUCGUAAGUGUUUCUCGAACUUCAAUCCUCACGGUGCUUUCUGGUUUCUGUGUUCCAAUUCAUCCGACCCUUGAUUCGCAGGAUAUGAAAGAGACCUCCCGCAUCAAGUCCAGUUUCAUACACGCCACGAGAGGCGGCUGGGAGCAGCUUCCCCUCCUCAAGGAUCAACUCCUCGAGUCGUAGGAAAAGCUCCUUAAAGCUUAUAAGGAUCUCGUAGCACUCGAGGGGGAGAAGAAAGCGAGGGAGGCUGCUUUGGCCGAGGCCCGAGAGGCCUCGAAGAAGGCAGAGGAGGAGACGAUGCAGCUACGGGAGCGGGCUCUUACGGUCGAGGGGGCCGCGUCCAGAGCCCGGGAGGAGGCCCUGUCCUACAAGAACGUCAUCGUGGAUUUGGACAAGGAGAAGGGCCUCCUUAAAUCCGACCUGGACUCUCUCCGAGAGUCUUUCCGAAAGAUGAAGGUGGAGCAUGUGAACGGUGAGGUCGCCAGGGGCACCGCAGAGGAAGCCAAGAAGAAGGCCCUCGAAGAUCUCGAGGCGGAGCGGGCUCGAUCCCGCAGUCUCUCUAACGACGUUGAGCGUCUGAAGGGAGAAUUGCUGGAGAAGAGUGGGGCCAUUGUUCAGGCUGGCAAGGCGAUCGAGGAUCUCCGCGUUGCCAACACCGAGCUGGCACGCUCCAGCAAAGAGAUCGAGAGGGCCAACACCAGGCUGGUCGGUGAGAACACGGCUCUAGAGGAGACCGUACGCGGUAUGUUUCCUCUAUCAAGUUUCUUUUUUCGAGGUGUGCUUGGUUUUUCCUAAGGUCUCUUGUAUUGGCCUUUACAGGGCUCAAGGACGAACUCCUAGCCGCCCAAGCCGAGGCUCGCAACGCCAAGGCUCAGCUCGAGGCGGAGGUUGCUUUGAACCGUCGAGUGCGGACGGCGAUAAGUGAUCUCUCGACCUCUUGGGAGGUCGAGCCCAUGGAUGUGUCGCGGGAGGGAGCUCGAGGCGACGCCCUGGUCGACCAGCUGUGCUACAUAGGCGCGACGCUGCGAGAUCGGGUGCGGGAUGCUCUCCACAUCGGGGUGAAGCGGGCGAUGGCGGUUGUCUGCUCGGGCUUCUCCUACGACAUGGAGGUGGUGUCUCAUGGCUUCGUCACCGACAUCUCCAAGACCGACGCGGAGAACGAGGAGAGGCUCCACGCCUUGAUCGAUGACGCGGAGGCUCCUGGGGAAAGGUUGGCUAGGCUUUUUGAGCCUGAGGUGCUCCCUCCUGAGGCUAGCUCGGGCGGAGGCGAGGGCGGUGAGGAUCGUGCCGCGGACUGAGGCCUGCGAGCCUGCUCAUGGUGCCUGAGGACCAUUGUAUGAUACUUUGUUAAUUCUAUGGUUAACUGAUACUGUAUCUUUUUCGUAAUCGUUAAAUGCUUAUUUUGUCUUUCCGCUCGAUGCUUUCGUUUCUCUUUGCGCCUACGUUUGUAUCCCUUGCUCGAUUUUUCGUGAAAGACCACCUCGAUCACUUCAAUAGUGGGGAAGUGAGUAGAGUUUCCGUAGCCCGGGGGCGUAGGAGUUCUCCAGUUCAUUGUCCCUCGGCCUUUGAGGGGCUCGAGGCGCCUUAGCUACUUGAACCUUGCAAGGUCUACUACGCAAGAAGAGAAAACUUCUUGGUUUUUUCGACACUCGGGGGGGGGGGGGUCGUCCCCCAGGUAGCCCCCGAGGGGGUGCUGACUAUGAUGGGUCAUAGUCGGCGGCCCCUUUUAAUCGUCGAGAUCAUGACUUGUAAGUCUUUUUGGCACGAAAAGAAGUUGCUCCGAGGGAAAGACUUUAUUUAUUCAUUCAUUCGUCUACAAAAUCUUGGUACAAAACGUAAGCAGGAACAUAAGGCUAGAGCUUCUAGGGGUAGAAUCGACGUAGCUGUUCGAUGUUCCAUGCGUUGGUGAAGAUUGCCCCCUUUUCGUCCGCCAACUUGUACGUUCCCGGCUUAAGGACCUCGGCCACCACGUACGGGCCUUCCCAGGGUGGAGUCAGCUUGUGGCGUCCUUGAUUGCUUUGCUGGCGUCGUAGGACAAGGUCACCUACGUUGAGGUCCCUCUUGCGCACGUGCUUGUCGUGGUAGCAUCGAAGUUUCUGCUGAUAUCUGGCAGAGUUGAGGAGGGCCAUGUCUCGAGCCUCCUCGAGUUGGUCGACCGCGUUUUCUUGAGUCUCUCUGUUUGAUUGCUCGUUGUAAGCCUUGAGUCGAGGUGAUCCAUACUCGAGGUCUGUGGGGAGGAUAGCCUCAGAGCCGUAAAGCAUGAAGAACGGGGUGUAUUUUGUGGCCCUGCUUGGUGUUGUCCUAAGGCUCCAUAGGACUGAGGAAAGCUCCUCGACCCAUUUCUUGCCGAAUUUCUUCAAUCGAUUGUAGAUCCUUGGCUUGAGUCCUUGUAAAAUCAUGCCGUUGGCACGCUCGACCUGGCCGUUAGUUCGAGGGUGGGCUACUGCAGACCAGUUCACACGGAUGUGAUGCUGAUCGCAGAAGUCCAAGAACUUUUUGCCGGUGAACUGGGUGCCGUUGUCGGUGAUGAUGACGUUGGGGAUCCCAAACCGAUGGAUGAUGUCGGUGAAGAAAAGGACGGCUUGCUCGGAACGGAUGUUGGUGAUGGGUCGAGCCUCGAUCCAUUUGGGGAACUUGUCAAUGGCCACCAGCAAACGAGUGUAUCCUCCUUUUGCCUUUUGUAGAGGUCCUACUAAAUCGAGCCCCCACACCGCAAACGGCCAGGUGAUGGGGAUCAUCUGAAGAGCGUGGGCGGGCAGAUGCGUCUGCUUGGCGUAGAACUGGCACCCAUGACACGAGCGUACGAGCUCAAUGGCGUCCGCCACGGCCGUUGGCCAGUAGAAGCCUUGUCAAAAAGCGUUCCCUACAAGGGUCCGUGGAGCGGCGUGGUGGCCACAAGCCCCCGAGUGCAGGUCAUCGAGGAGUUUUCGGCCUUCUUCCACGGUGAUGCUACGUUGUAAGACCCCCGUCGGGCUCCGUCGAUAUAGCUCGUUGUCUUCGCCAUAGGUUACAUAUGAUUUGGCCCGUCGAGCGAUACGACGAGCUUCUGACCGGUCUUCUGGCAACUCGCCGCGGAUGAGGCAGUCGAGGAACGGCGUGCGCCAAUCGAGCCGUCGUUCUAUCUCCAUCACCUCUUCCACCAUCAAGAGCGUAUCGACAGCAUUGGUUGGUUGGGCGGUGGUGGCGUCGACGCCAGCCCCCGUGCCUAGGUCGACGGAUGGCUCGUGAAGAUCUUUUGAGAAUGCAUCAGGCGGCACCGUGCCUCUGGUUGAUGCGAUCUUGGCGAGUUCGUCGGCUGCCUCGUUGUAGCGUCGGGCGACAUGGACAAGCUCGAGACCAUGGAAUUUGUCCUCGAGUCGACGGACUUCUUUGCAGUACAGUUCCAUUUUCGGGUCGUGGCAGCUCGAGGUUUUCAUUACUCGGUCGAUGACGAGUUGGGAGUCACCUCGGACGUCGAGGCGUCGGACUCCUAACUCGAUAGCAAUCUUGAGACCAUUGACGAGGGCCUCAUAUUCUGCGACAUUGUUAGACGCGGCAAAAUGAAUCCUGAUUACAUACCUCAUGUGGACGCCCAAGGGUGAGAUGAACAGCAGGCCGGCCCCA
This 54068-nucleotide long non-coding RNA is filed under the name Sorghum bicolor (sorghum). RNAcentral describes it as "long non-coding RNA (SBIC_LNC006272)". The record is from RNAcentral. Lineage: Eukaryota; Viridiplantae; Streptophyta; Magnoliopsida; Poales; Poaceae.